Molecule: long non-coding RNA, 48800 nt
Filed under: Elaeis guineensis (African oil palm)
Lineage: Eukaryota; Viridiplantae; Streptophyta; Magnoliopsida; Arecales; Arecaceae
Description: long non-coding RNA (EGUI_LNC022319)
Source: RNAcentral
GGUUCCUCUCCAAAUUUUCACUUCCUUUACCAUCCAAUCUUGCUUCCGUUCCUGCUGAUAGUUCUUGUAUUUGAAUCAUUGAAAUAAUUCUUUUAUUGACAUAAAAGUAUUCUAAGUUUAUAGCAUCUGACAAACUGUCAAAAUUAUCCAUGGAAACUUCUAAUUAUGUAGAAUAUGAGCCUUGUUGCAAUGGUAAGGUCGCUCCAUUGUAAGCUGGAGUCAUGGAUUCGAAAUAUGAAAACAGCCUCUCCACACGGUUAGUCAAUGUAUAUCCAACCCUCCCAAGAUCCCGCAAUAGCAGGAGUCUCAUGCACCGGGCUGCCCUUUUUUUCUAAUCUUAUCUCGAAUACAGUAUCAGCGAUGGAGAUGCAACUCUGCCUCUUGGGCAACACACUCCCCCCCCCCCCACCCGGUAGAACCCUUACUUUCGUACCUUUCCAAGAAUCAGUCCAUCUUUGUCUUUUUGUUUAUUUUAGUUCCCUUUAUGAGAGCAGGUCCUUUCUCCCUAUCUUCCUUGAAAAACUGCCUCUUACUCCUAUACUGCAAACAAGAUAAUAGCUAUGUUAUGGUACUUAUUUGAUCCUUAAACCAAAAAGUACAAAUACCCUCUCUUUCUAGAUUUACCCAGCUUUUCUUUCUAUUUUUUUUGGGGGGGUGUGUUUGAGCCUGUAAGAAGGGCAAGUAUGCUACCCAUCAUUAUGAACCAAGAUGAUACAAAUGAUGGAUGGUAUCAUUAAGAGAUACAAUACAUAUCCUUAGAAUCUAGCAGAACCAUCAGUUCUCAGAUUACAAGUUUGAAGAAAGAAAAGAACAAAACUUUGGCUUUCAUUUGUUGCUUCAAAGUAUUGCAGGUUUAUCCUUUUUAGAAAAAACUAUAGCAAAAAACAGCACCCAUUUCCCUACCCAAGCAGACUCAUCCCUCCUUUUUCAAAAAGUUUUACAAAAGGCACAACACAACAUAAGCUGUACCAGUUGAAGAAGUGUUCUCACAAAAGCUUAUUGAACUUAACGAUAACAUCUAGAAAAGAAAAUAAAAAGAAGCCUUCAUCUGCUACUAUGACACACUUAUAGGAGAUAAGAUAGACAUUCUUACCGGUACGCAUGGCAGCAGGCUUUGUUAUACAGUGCUGCUUGAGCUUCAAUAGGUUUUGGAUUCAAAGAAAGUGCAUUUUCAAACUGUGUGAGAGCAUCCUUUACCUAUUACAUUCACAAACAUGGGAUCUCAAAAAAAUGUUGGAUAUAUGAAAACCAAAUGCAGUUACAUAAUUUGCUCACAUAAGAUGUCGAUUAUUCAGGGAUCUAGUCAAUGAAAGAAAGGCAUAAGCUUAAUGCAUUUCACUAAUGUUGAUCAAACAACUGAAUAUUGGUGAAGAACAGUUGGAUGUUUGCUUCUUGUUACUUUAAUCAUUGAGGCCCUUUGUUCUACCAAUGCACGGAGGUGACAAUAUCCUCCCUUGGUACUCUUCUUAAAUAGUCUUGUCCUCACAAACUGCAAUCAUGAGACAACUAACGUGCUCCUCAUUUCAUCUCAUGUGCCUUGUCAUUUCUUGGCUAAAUCCAAUCCCUUGUCCAUCUAUUUCUUCAACACUAGUCCCUUCAUGAUUCUUAAAAAGUGCACAUCAUAUCGGUUUUUAUCUUCUCCCCUUAAGGGUGUCUAUGCACUUUAAAAUGCACCUUUUUUCCUUUGCCUUUUGAUGAACAGGCUAAGCUUCCACUCAAGCUACUAAUGGAUCAUGUCAAUUAGCAAUUCCUAAUAUAUAGUUUAUCAUUGUUACAUUAUCUUUGGUCCAAACUUCUUCCAUAUCUCAAGCUAUGUCACCUUCUCCAAGGGAGUGGCCUUCCAUUAAAUUUUUCGUUCAGUAUCUAUUCUUCAUUAAGUCCCCAAACUCCUUCCCUUUAGGUAUGGUUCCAUUCACUAUGAUACCUUUGAUCAUAAUCCCAAUGAAUGUCAUCAUCUCCAAGGUAGUAUCCUACCACACAAACUUUGUCUAGCAUCUAACUUUCAAUGAAGUUCCCCAGCUUCCUAAUUUUUUCUUGUGGCCCCAUCCGUCCUCUCAUAACCCUUUCCCCUUUUCUAUCCUUCCAGUUUUGGUCCUAUUUUAUCAUUUCUUUUGUCCUAGGCCUAAGGUGUCCCUGUAUUCCUCCAAGCUUCCCAGUACAGAGGAUUAGUAAACAAUCCUUCUUCUACUCCCAUGACAAAUCUCUCCAGCUACAUGCCCCAGGUUACCAGGAUUUUGGUAUUUGCCCUGCAAACAAACCACAUCAUCAUCCUUAGGAACAGAUGCAACAAGCCCUACUCAUUAUAAUUGGCAUAAUCCUCUCUCUUACUCUACACAAGUACAAAAUAUCUUUGCAAUUUUAAGAGUCCAUAAGAAACUUCAUUCUUAUAAAAAGGUAGUUAAACAUCCAUAUUUAAAGGUAUCCAUGGAUACGAAGAUUCAAGUGCUCCAGCAUAUCACACUAUGAUCAUGCGCCCCCCCCACCCCAAAAUUCUCCACUCAUCAGUUGUCAAUCGAUGAACUCAAAUGGUUGGUUGGGCUAAUUACCCAAGAUUUUAUUAUAGAACAAUAUCAAAUUUAUUGCAGCAUUUGAAUGACUGAUCAUUUGGAGAAUGUGAUCAUUUGUUAGCUUGAUUAUCAUUAAUCAUUAGUGUUGUUCAAGACUGACCACACAAUACAAAAUUGUUCAUUGGCAUAUUACAUAUUCGGAACCAAUGUCCUGCAUGAGUUACCGUAAUUCAUAUUAGCAAUUGCUCCUCAAGCUUCCCAAAUUUUUUAUUUGAAACAUAAAAAAAACCUUUACGAUAAUACUGAUCAUGAGUUUGACUCCAAAUUUGUAACUAUCAUUUCCACUCCAAAAUUCAGGAAAGUUGCAUGACCAAAUCAGCUGAAAUAAUAGUGGAUCAUGCAGCCUAACUUCCAGAAGCCGUAAGUUUCUAAACAUGCAAAGGAAUUGCUGCUAUCAUUUGCCACAAUAAAGCUCUCUAGAUCUAGAAUUCAUCCAGAUUCGAACCCUUUUGAGAUUCAAAAAAUGGUUUGCCACUGCCAAUACUCAGAGUGGCAACCACAAGCAGGAAAGCACCGAUCUUUUUAACUGAUUAAAAUUUCUAGAAUCUCCCUAUAGCUACAGUGUCUGGCGCAGAAGAUUUCCAACCAUACCCAACUGCUAUUUUAGUCUAAUCUUAUAAAAUGGAACGUUAAACAUUCUGAUGAGAUGAGAAUCAAAUCGAGGGAUGAGUUAAUGGUCUUACCCUUCCUUUAGAGAAGAGGGAGAGGCCCAAGUUGACACAGGACUCGGCAGUCUGAGUGCUGGUCUCCGAGGAGGGAGACGGCGGAGAGGAGGAGGAGGAGGAGGCCACGAGGACGAGACGACUCUUUUGGAAUCUGAGACGAGUUCUUUGGGAGGAGAAGGCUCGUGACCUUGGGCAGCAAAGUAGCUGCUGGUGGAGACCAGCAGCGGCCAGCGCCAUUGGAGAGAGAGGAUCAAAAAAAAAAAAAAGGAGGCACUUUUGGUGGUAAGAACGCGAGCCGCUGCUUAUUCCUCUGGAUAAGUCUCCCGUUAUCCGGAAACAUUACAAGCUUGUUUUGUACCACCACGUGAUCAAAUUCCCGUCAGCCGUUUGGUCCCUUCGAUCCGUGGUACUAAUUCCACUCUCCACCCGUCCAAUUAGCUUACGUAGGGAAUGUGAAAUUUGUGACGGCUAGUUUAGCUGCGGAACAUGUACAUCAACCAGCUUACUUAAUCAUACGACCAGCAACCAUCAAAAAUUCAAUUUCAGGAGACCAUGAAAAAGUAUUAUUUACGGUGGGGAUAGCUUUGGUUCAGGUUAGCCAGAAUCAACACUAAUAAAUCUUUGAUCCAUAUCCAAUUCAUUUAUCAUCAAAUUGAAAGCAAAAAUAUAAAUUCAUACGCAAUCCAUUUAUCUUAUGGACCUAUAUCCAACCUGCCAACUCAAUUAACACGUUACUUGUUAAUAAUAUAUCUUAAUAAACGAAAAUAAAAUAUAAUAGAAGAGAGGAAUUCACAAUCAGCAUCAAAUUAAGCAUACUAUUCUCUUCACUAUUCUAUUCAAUAUUUUCUUACUUUUUGUUAGCAUUGAUUAUACCGCCAGCUCAAUUAACACGUUAAUUAUAUAUCUUAAUGAAUGAAAAUAACAUAUGAUAGAAAAGAGGGCUUUAGAGUUGAUAUUAAAUUAAGGCAAGAAAGUAAGCUAAAGAAACCAAAUGGAAUAGAGAAUAUGAUUUAACUUUUCUUUUCAAUAUUUUUCUUACUUCUUUUUUUUUUUAUAUCUAUCAUACAUUCUUCCAAAUCAUCAAACCCUCGACUAGCUUUCCUGGAAAUUCAAAAGUAGAUUUCUAGUGCUCCUUCAUUUCUCAUGGUGACUCAUUGGAUCAGAAGGCCAAAUUCAUUCCCAAACCGCUUAUGAUCGGAUUUGUCUCAGCUCCCCAUUAUAAAGGACACUCGUUCAAACACAUUUAUUUCAGAUGGGUUUAGGUGGGUUGGCAUAUCCAUGUAAAAAAUUUGCUAUACCUAGUCAGAUUACCACCUGAAUCACACCAUGCUUGUUCCAAGCCUACAGAAUUGGAAAAUUGCAGGCAGAAAGCAACCAAAAUCUACAUUAACAUGCUCCUGCUGCAGCACACGACAUUUCUAUUUCAAGUGGAUCUAGCAAAUUGUUGCAGCAAACCGGCGUGUCUGUAUCGUGCAUGUUGCUUGGCGUGUUUGGAAGCUUCUAGAGUGAAUCUUAAAUUGUCAAGCUUCUAUGUUUGGAAGCUUCCAAUAUUGUUCAUGAAACCAGAGCAGGUUGGAGAACCCCUCUGAUGCAGAACAUUUUGGCUUCUCCCCAAUAUCAUAAUCAGCCUUAUGGAUGGAACUGACCCUUUGAAUUUCUGAGUACCUGCUACAGUCAGCUCUCACUUGCAACCCAACUCUGGAAUCGGUUUCAAAUGCUUCAGCGGUUAAACGCUUCAUAUCACACUAAUGCAACCAUAAGUGGAAAAGCAGCAAUGAGAAAUGUUAAAAUAUUAAGGAUCCUAAACAAUGGUUUGAUGCAUGGACGUUGCAUUUAUCUCGGUCAUAAUUAUAAGAAGAAGAACAACACUGAAAAUCAAUAAUAUUGUAUGCUUUAAGGGAAAAACAAAAUUGUGACUUAGCCAGGGUCUCAACAACUUAUUCCAACAAGAAGAAAACAAUGGCCUGAAAAAAUUCUCAUCAUCAUUAUCACCUGAAUGCAACCUAGUCAACUAUGCCCGAUUGAAGGGAGAAAGAAAUUUGACAGAUCCAUAACCAAUCAGACAUCCAAAUUUGGGAGCUCUGCAAAGUUAGAAUGCCGCUGCCAACGAACAUGGCAUCACUUUAUCCCAUGGAAGGAAGGCAAGACAGCAACAAGUGGGUCUCCAUAACCAACCGCUUCUGCAAGUUAGAGAAAUGUGAGGAGGAAAAUAAACAAAUAAAUAACAAGGUCAAUAAUUCUGAAAUGAGCCUAGCAGCAGAAUUCAGAAAGAAAAAUAAUCAAAUAAGGCCACAUUUAUGGUUUUAGUUUGAGCAACAGAUGCCAAUAAACAGGAUGAAGAACAGAUGAAGAGCAAAACUUCGUGUCUGUUACAUGUAACUCACAUCCUUCAAGCCCGUAAUGUGCUCCCCAUCUGUGUUGCAGGAUAUCAUUCGAAACACCACAUCUCCCAGAAAAUAAUAAGCAUGCUAUGCAGAUGAGCACAAAUUUACAAUUAAAUCAUCUAUUAUGGGACAGAAAAACAAGCAAAGGCAAACAGCUGAAGGGGCAUUUUGCCGAUGAAAUAUCAAAUAUCAUUUUCUAACAUGGUUCUCUAAACCACAAAAAGUUGUGGGAGGGUGAUCUACAGGGCAUAUUCUGCUUCAUUCAGGAACUGUAUGGACAGUUUGAAGGUAUGAGUGGAACAGAAGGAUAACCGAAUCAAAGAUAUCAUGGGAGUCCAUAUACUCUGUAGACUACAGCAAUCCAAGAUUUUCCAAAUACCAGAAUUCACAUUUUAAGAUCUCCUACAGUAUGCAAGAAAAUAGAGAUUGGGAAAAGCAACAGCUUCCACAAACUCUUAUCAUUUCUCUUCCUUUCUCUAUUUACAAACUUCCACCAUCAUAGGAGAUUUAGGUAAGGUGGGAGAGCAUCCACAAUAAACCAUUAGUUUCUCUCUUAAAAUGUAUUAGGAAAAGAACAAUGAGCACAAGCUGCUCUGUUUUUUACCAUGCCAAUCUGAGCAUAUGCUGAUGACACUGAUUUAGCCUAUGAAGUGUCUGCCAAACCCAAGUACCAAACCAAUGUUCUGAAUAGCAUACAUAUACGUGUUUUAUGGAAUGGCUUCAGUAGGCGUACUUUCAAGCCGCCCAGAAUGCCCUAUAGAGGUAAGACAAAAUAUGAAGUCAUCUUAAGGUUAGCUUAUUUGCGUUACCUUCAUCCUUGAAGAGGACCUUUAGGACUUCUCCAGCAACAUCUGACUGCACAAAAGAAAUAAACAAACAGGCAUCAUAAGUGCUUUCACCAUCAUAAGCUGUUUGAACCCACAGCAUCAAAACAAGCCAUAUGAACUAUUGGUCAGAAUCGAAUGAAGAAAUAAAAAAUGAAAUGAGAAAACAGGAAAUCGCACUCACUCUGACAGGAAGCUCAUUUCCAAAUUGAUCCAAGAAGCCAAUGAUUUGUCCUUCUUUAAUAAUGUCACCCUGUUAUUAACGAAGUUGCAAGACCAUUACAGAAUGUUAGAAUGUAUUCCUGACAGAAGGGGCCUGACUUGGUUUCUGGUUUUGUAGAAAAUCAGGCCUGAUCAUGUGCUGUACAAACAACACGGUGUAGUGAGAGUUGCUGAUCACAUCACCUCUUUACAGCUAGGAGGCUGCUUUUUUCCUUUCAAUGUCCUUCCACUUCGGAAUGAACCAACCUAACAUAAUGAGUUUGUGAAUGUUUAUUUGAAGGAACAAUAAGAAAUUAGCAAGGCUACAUCAUACAAGUCAUUUAUACCGUAGGCGAUGAUACUAGAACAUAUGCAUUUGAUCCAGAAGCCUCUAAAGCUGUCAGUUUUGAUUUCGUUGCUGCUGACACAUUAGUAAAUGGACUGAUAGCUGGUGGAUCAGAUUUCUGUGACCCAACCGGCGGAGAAGCAGAAGCUGAUUCAACCAUUGGCUUACUUGGAAUUGGUGGUGCUGUAGUUGGUGACUCAAUAAGAGGUGCAAUUGAAGUUGGAGCUUUUGGGGUCCCUAUAUCCCUUUUCAGGAGCAUUUCAAAGUCACCAACCUGAAGCAACAGUAACUGCAUCAAUAGGAUAUUUCACAUUUAUUUUGCACGACAAGUGAUUUAAGAUGGUACUUGAUUACUGAAUUAACUGAUCAUCAAUAUCUGAUACCAACAAAAGAUGUAAUCUAAAAGUAUUUCAAAAUUUCACCAAGAAAUGAAAGGUGAUUACACAGAAUUCUUUUAAUUAAAUUAGAAACUUGGUAUCUGAGACUAAAAAUUACAAGUGCCCAUAGCAGCUACUUAUUGUCUGGCCAGAUAAAAAUCAGCAGGAUCAUUUAUGCAACAGAUCAAGGACAUAGAGAUUUGCUGAUAUUUGCCUAGAUAAUCUUCAUCACUUAAUAACAAGAUACAGAAAUUUGCUGUAAAAGAUGGAUCAGUUGCAAUAGUAGUUGAUUUUCGUGCAAGAAGAUCCAAUUUUUAUGUCUCUGGCCGCAAAUCUUCCACUGGGUUCAGAUUACCAAUAACUGUUACUACUAAAAGAUCUUAACCUAGUUCCAGGUUCCAACUCAUUGGCCAUAAAAUAACAGCUUGCAUAAGAUCAUCAAAAUUUAAAGACCACGUAAUUAAAGAUACCAAAAAACAAAAGGAAUUGUUAAAGUCCAACAAUAUCACAUUAUCUUGAGGCAAUUCCUGAUUCUUAGAUUGUCAUGUAGUGGUAUAGUAACUGAGUCAAUCACAUAGCUUUGUACGAUCUUCAAACAGGUUUAUAGGGAGAUCAUGAGCAAUAAAAAAGAUGCAAAAAUAUGUUCUGAAGAAAUUUUUUUCCUCUAAUCCCACUAAGGGAAAAAAAGACAACAUAAGAACCAAUAACUCUGCAAUUAACAACCAGCAACUCAUAUAGGAGAAAAAAGAAAAAGAAUUUACUCUCUUUAUUAAAUUCACUUAGAUACUACUACAAGGGACUGAGUCAUGCAAAUGAAUAUAAUAGAAAUAGGUGGUGUUGAGAUGAAAAUCAUGUUAUGCUGUAAAAGAAAAGUCAUGGAUCACUUAUCCUUAACUAUAGUAGAGAAUGUUAAAAGUAUAAGCAGACAGGUCAAUUGCAUGACUAGUUAAACAGCCCCAUGAACAUUUAACCACAUGUGAUCUUAACAUUAUGGGCUUACAGCUUAACAUCAAGAAGGUUAACAACUGUAUUCACAUGGUGUAGAAUGUCUUUGUGGACUUGAAGUGGCUAGGUAUAGAAUGAUUUUCACUGCAGCAGCAAUCAUUCAAAUAGGAUCGAUCGUGCAACUUGAAGCAAAAUUAUAAUUUCCAUGCUUGCUUCCAAAUAUACCUUUAGUUUUAGCUCUGCAACAUCUGUCUCAUCACACACUUCCAGGACGAAUGUCUGCAAUAGAAACAGCAAGCCAUUUGAGACAUACUUUGAGUACGAAUAACAAAACACAUGGCAUAGAGCCUAAGAAUUGAUACUUGAAGUUAUCAUGUUUCAGUCAUAGAAUAAAUAAAAGCAAAAAUUUUUCAUGUUUCAGUCCUAUAUUUCAACAAACUUGCACCCAAUGUGCAUGAAUAUAAACAAAGCUCUUUGCAUAUGAUGGGAGGGUGAAACAGAGUUUCACAAUGGCAACCUUUGAUUGCACAGGAUUUGUCUGAGAAAGUUUAUUCUAGAAUCUAUUUUGGUCAUCCAAACACCGUCAUGGACCAGAUAGAAAACUUGGCCAAUGUUUGCCACCCACAUAUGGGGAUAGCAGAAACUAAUAUUAUUAAUUCUGCUAAGAAACAAAAUUGAAGGGAAUGUAGAAAAUCACAAAGAGGGCAGUGCAGAGAGAGAGGGAGAGAGAGAGGCUUUGCAUUAUAGAGAGUAGACAACAGGUCCAAAGUACAAUCUAGAAUAACAUACACAGUUGGCUCAAGCAAGUUGAAUUGAAAUUGUUAAAUAAGAUAGAUAUAAUCCUUGUAAGCAAUAAGGUUCAACAUAUGCUUGUAAGAGGAAGAGUGUUAUCAAAAUGACCAGAAUAAACUGAAAAACAUGUAUAAUAUACCUCCAAUUGCUCCAGAAGAAAUAAAGAUAUGAUGGCUAGAAGUCAUAUGCUCAAGAUAUAGGCAGGCAUCUGCAGUGAGAAACCUCCCAAAAGGUCAAUGAUUUGUCCUUACCUCUUUCAUUUUAAUAUCUCAGUAGGUCAAGUUAUGGGCUGGUAGCUACAAUUAGAUGCUGAUAGCCCCAAGCAUCAUUACAGAACAUGCACUGGCAUGCUUGCAUACAAGAAGAAACCCAUUGGUGCUUUCAAUCAUGUGGAUUGGUGUUUGGUGCAGGAAGCUUAGUUGGCUAUAUUUUAAAAGGAAAAAUAUAUGAAGUACAAUUUUAGGAAAAGGUUUAACUUUUAAAAAUAUAUAAAUAACAGAAGGCAUUACUAUAAAUCAUACCAUAUAAAUGAACAGCCCAUAUACUUAUAACCAAGGUUUCAAAUCCUAUGGGAUGGUGGUUCUCUGUUUCUCCACGGAGCAGGAUGCCUCGCUAUACUGUCUCAUCCCAACAGCGGUGGUGGUGUCCGGUGUCCCUAUUUCUCCAUGGAACAGGAUGCCUCGCUAUACCGUCUUAUCUCGAUAGCGGUCCCAGUCACGCAUACCAGUAGAUAUCCUCCGUCUAUCUUCACUUCUUUCCUUUCUUUCUUUUUUUCUUUUCUUCUACCUUUCUUUCUUUCUUAUCCCUUCCUUUCUUUUGUUCCCUUUUCUUCUUCUUUCUCUUUCCUUUCUUCCUUCUUUCUUUCAUUUCUUUUUCUUGUCCCUUCCUUUCCUUUUUUCUUUCAUUUUUUUUAUUUUUUUUAUUUUUCUUCUUCUUUUCUUUCAUUUUUUCUUGUUCUUAAUCUUUUCUUUCUUUCUUUCUUCUUGCUUCCUCUCCCCUACAUGGAUGGGUUUCAAAAUCCCGGUCCCAUCUUCUCAAAAGAAUGGAUGGGACAGGCAAGAUGCACUCAUCCUGUCAGGACGUAACCCUUGCUUAUAAUUGAAAUAAGACAGCUUUUAAAGUGGAACAAGUGAGAACAAAAGUUGAUCUCUAGUUUUUACUUGCACUUAGGCCAACGAGCAUUAAAUUCUACAUGAAAGUCCUUGGCCAAAAUGUAUGUAGGAGCCACCUGGAUGGCAAGCAUCUAGCGCUAUUGCAUAGUUCAUCAAUGUCCUCAGGGGCAUUUUGUUACAAAUAUAUCAUAUAUGUUUAUUUAAGGACAGUAUCCACACAUGACUAGCAUAUUGUCCUUGUAAGUGAGAAAGGACAGCCAUGCUGGUGUAGACAAGUGAAGUGGCAUGGCCGCCAUUGGCUUGACUAUUUAGACUAUCUUCGGUGUUUGACAUUGAAAUUUGAUCUUCUAAGUUCAAACUUCAAUGUAAACAACAACUCAUAAAUUGACAAUUGAGCUUGAGAAACAUCUUGAGGAAGAGGAAGUGUAAGUGAUUUGUUCUUUGGAGUUACAGAUUUAUUAGUAAUCAACUGAAAAAAGGAUUGCAUGAGUUGGAAAAUGAGAUCCAAAAGAAAAUAGCUUAACAAUAGUAUGAAAAACAAAGCUCAGCAUUUUGAAAGUUAACUUCUUAGUAAGUAUGAGUAUUUAGCAUCAGAUCAAGCAUAUCAACUCCUUCAUAUUAUAUUUUAUUGCAUUUCAUGUGAAUUCUCACUCUAAGGAAAUGUUUGUAGUGUGGUGAGACAUGAAGGAAGAGUCCAUACAGAAUGCUCAUGUGCAUGAGAAAACAGAGGCAUCCCCAAUUAAGACAAGGCUUUAGUUUGUGUGAAAUGGUUGGAGAAGGAACAAAAUAGACCAGAACACACUGGACAAACAUAGGAAGAAAGUAGGUAGCAAAGCUUGCACUAACAAAGGAUGUAAGUUUUGAUAUGAAAUUUGUAGCAAAAACGAAUUAACAAAGACAACCUCAUUAGCACGGACUGGACUUGUUCAUCAUGGUUACAAACUUAUAAUCAUGGUAAUGGGCCCCAUUAUUGCAAUCUGACAGUCUCUCUCUAACCCCACCCCAGCCCUCCUUUGGAGCUACUGCCUGAACUCCACUUCAGAGCUGCCACCUCAACUCAUAUUUGGCUCAGCCCCCUUCAAAUUAUCACCUCAACUUCAACUCAUCUCUGUGCAGUAGCCCAACCUUACUUAACCCCUGGACCUGCCACCUCAACCCUUUCAGCACCACUACUUGUCCAACAAAAGAAGAGAAGAAGAGAAGAAGAAGAUGAAGUGGAGGACAAUGGUUGACUUUGGCUAAUUGAUGGUAGCCUUGUCAGCCCCACUGCCUUAACCAAGAAGAAGAGAUUGGUGGAUCAAGGUCUAGAAUAGAAUGGAGUGGUACGGAAUUGUUUUCUGUAGUCUUUAUUUAAAAAAAAAAUAUCCUUUCAGCAAUCCAGUCCAAGUCAAAUGAGCUGCUAUCUUGGCCAGUUUGGAUAGUUGAACAUCUUGAGUUAACAGUUCUAAUAGUUUGAUGUUAAUGCUGGUUUUAGGUCGACCAGAGCGAUCAACGCUGAUGGGUGAAGUGUCAAACAGGUUGACCUGGUUGAGUCUCAAAAAUCUGCAGGGAACAUCUAAUUUGUAUACUGGCUACUAAUUUGCUUCUUUCUUUGUGAAUCCUGUCACCCAAAAGUCCAUGUGCUUUCUUCCUCUUUAAAAAGUUCUAACCACAAUAAAUUCUAGACAAAGAUAACAUAACGUACUUUUGCAUCUAAAUAAAAUCAGUGGCAUAUUGAAAUCUUUGUUCACUGGAAUAACAAGAAAAUCAUAGGUGAGACCUCAAACCCAUUUGGAAGUGUUGAAUUCUGAACAUUUAUCUUCUGUAUUGGCCCUUGCAAGUUCUUGUCAGCUGCAUCCAAAGACAUAACUGCCCUUGCUAAGUUUAGGUGCUGGUGUGGCAUAUAAUAUACUAACAGCAUGAAAUGCCAAUAAGUAAUGAACAUAAUAAUAUAAUUGAUAUUAAUGACUAGCUUUAUUAUGAAUAUAAGGAAGAAAUAUUUCAUUCAGCUAUCUUAAGCAAUGAUGAGAAGUUAUACAUUGAAAUUUAACUUUGAAGAUUAUUUAUAAAUAAGAAUAGCUUUAACCCAAAAAUUCUUAAACCCACUUCCUGUCUAAUUUAAGUUUUAUGUAUGAACCAACAAAAUGUAUCUCUCAAGUUUGACUAAGAUCACAAAUACAAAAGUUUUCUGAUAUGCUUGCCCAUGUAACAGAUGAUAAUAUCCAUUUUAAUUGCAAAAGUUUCCAUAUGUAUAACAAGCAAAACUGAGGAGGGGGAGAGAACUUAUGAUGCCUGAAAUUAAUAUUUUUCUUAUUCUACAACUGCUUGAAUAAUUGAGAAAGAAAACCUUUUUGUGUAGCUCAAGUCUGUUUGGUUAUAUUCUCCAAGUUUAUGUUACCACGGCAAAGGAAGUAAGAUGGUCUCAAUAAGUUAAUGCUCUUUAUCAAAAGAUUGUUUGUGAAGCAACCAGUCAUCAAGCAUGCAGAAACACACUGCUUCAGCAUUUUGCGCAAAAAAAAUUGAGCGUUACUCUCAAAAGGCAUGAAGCAUCAUGAAUAAUAUGACCCUGUUUUACCAGAUAUAUGGAUCUUCCCUUGGCAACUUCGAAAUCUAAUAUCAUUAUGGGAACCUCCAUCAAAACUUCAUUCUCUCUCUCUCUCUCUCUCUCUCUCUCUCUCUCUCUCNNNNNNNNNNNNNNNNNNNNCUACUCUCUCUCUCUCUCUCUCUCUCUCUCUCUCUCUCUCUCUCUCACUCACACACACACCCAGAGAAUCCCUGGCUAUGGAAAAUAAGCAAUUACAUCAAGACUACUGGUAGAUGCCUAAUUGGAAAGUAUUUUACCACUUUUUUCAGAAAAAAGAAACUAUUCAUAAGUAAGAAAAGAUGCAACAUAUCAUGUUCUAGCCAACCAAAAUGACUUGGUAAAAAUGUUGCUGCACUUGCUUAGCAAAGGACAGUUCGAUAUCAGGAAUAUGGUUGAAGCUAACUUACCAUCAGCAGUCAUGGGUAAUGUAGUUUUUGAGGCCUUCACAGACAAAACUAAUGGUCGCUUCUUAGCCAUUGUUGAAAAGUUUCUCCAGCCUUCCACAGGAAUUCUCCAAAAAGACUUUUCUGAAGCAGCUCUGCGAACAUGAACUGCAGCAGGUUUUCGAAGAAAAGAAUAUGCACAUGGAGUUGGCUGUAGGGCACCUAAUAAUAACAAAGAGAUAAGUGCAUGUAUUACUUUCAUCCUUGAUGAAGUAGCAAAAUAAGCCAAAGACAAGCAAAGCUGGUUGAUUAGUAAAGAAUAAUGCACCUUAGAAGAACAUACUGACAAAAUCAUGACUCAAACUUUUACAAGCACCAACAGAUAAUACAGAAGAAAGUGAAAUUCAGUGCCAGGUUAUUGUUUGGCAAAAUCUCCCUCAAUAACAGUAAUCAAAGUAAACCUGUGAUUUCAUAACAUAAGCAUGACUAAAGAGCUCUUUUUUCCAACAAUUGCCCAUUUUAUUUUAUAUCAUUGCAAGUCCAACUUGUGACAUCAUGUGAAUGAGAUCUGACCAUAACCAUUCAAUUCGAUGAACAUGAGAAACCACAUAAUUCAAGAAUAAAUCAAGGAAACUCAAUCAGAACUUUUCUAAGCCAAGUAAUCUAUUUUGGCAAUCAGUUUAUAAUAGAGAAAGUGCAAGUAUCAAAGACCAUGACUUGAAAUGCAACUCCCUGUUUUCUAUAAUAGCUGGACCUCAACUAGCUCACAUACCGUAACCACUAGUAAUAUAUUUUGAAUAAGGGGCAAUAAGAAUUUCCUUGAAAUAUACAGACUACUAUAGUAUGCAAUUGGAAAAGAAUUCAAGCUAAACCCCUUUCUUUAUUAUCUUUGUAUUUAUGGUAAAUAUCAGAUAUCAUCAAGCCUAAUCCGAAAUUUCCAUUUAUAUAGAGAGUCUGAACAAAUCAAGUUCCAAUCCAUCAAAGCUAAGGAAUACUGCUCGUAAGGUAAUGUCAGCACUCAGAAUUGGUGUCCAGGUCAUGAAACAGGCCCGACCUUAAAAACUUGAGGGCAACCAUGUAGAUUCCUUUCAGCUUGGAAAGAAUCAAUGCAUAGAGAGAAGAGCGCCAGCUUCAAUAUGGGGAAGCGUAUCCAUCUCCAAGGCAUAAACCAGAAAAGCCUUAUGGAACCACAAGCACACUUUCUUUUAUUGAUUGUGAUUGCAUGCUAUAAAAUGAUAUCUUUUGGAGUCUACAAGUGUGAUUUUGUAAAUAUGAAGUGCUUGAGAGAAAAUGACACGGUCAAUUCACAGAUGGGAUGCACCAAACGCAUUUUGUAUCUACCACUUAGAUUACCUAACAUCUUCAGAAGUUCAAGAGUACCUCAUUGAAUUGCAACUAAGGCCACUUUUCUUACUGCUCCUCGUAAGGAACGUCCAUAACAUCAUGCCUCCAAUUUUAACAUAAAUUACGCUAGUUUCAGCUAGAUGAUGCUUAACAAUUUACCUCCCACCAGUAAAAAUCUUGCUCUGCCACCAAAAUCAACACAGAAACUCUUAUAUUUCAAAAUUGGGGCAAAAUCUUUAACCCCCUAUAAAAGUUCCGGGUCCAUGAGAAUACCAAGGACAUGACAUCUGAAUUUUAAGGGGAAAAAAAAAGGAAACAAAAGACAUCCUACUAAAUAAACUCAUAAACAUCAAGAGAAGAAUUCAAUCACCGGAUCACGAUCCCGAUAUGAGAAAUUAACAACAAAUCCAACUAAAGUAACAAGAGAUCAAGAAAUGGAUCAAUGGCGAAUAAACGAGGAACAAAACCGCGAGGAAAGAGACAUUACAUUGGAAGGAUCGGAGAACCGUGGCGGAUUCCAUGGAGGAAAGCCGACGAAUCGGAGAAGCUGAAAAGAUGAAUGGAUGAUCGAAGAGGAGAUGGCCGAAUGUGACAGGGGAUUUAUAUAGAGAGGGAGAGGUAGAGUUGGUUUCGUCGCAGUAGAACUGGGACGGAGGGCUUCGAAAUGUCCGCCAUGGACAUUGGUUUCACCGGCUCGAACGAGAAACGAGGUCCGGAAACGAAAGGAGAAUCCGCAUUCCGCGUAGCCGAUCGUAAACAGGAGGGCGGGUUAUGAAAAUUGGCAAAUAGAAAGGGAGCUAUUGUUAAAUUUUUUAAUUCACAUUUAUAGGCCCGUUAAAUGGACCACGCCCGUUAAAAUGCAUACGAUAAGUAGAUAUGAACAUGUUAUUGUUGUUGGCUUUUCUUUCUUUUUUAUAUCCCUUCUUUUUUUUCUCUCUUUUUUUGUGUGUGUGUGUGUGUGUUUUUGUGCUAAGACAGCACGAUUGCACAUCCACAUAUUAAGGAAUAAUAAAUUCAAAGAUUUUUAUGGAGAACAAUUAUCGUACCUAUAAAGCAAAUUCCUAUCCAGAGAAGGCAACUAAUCAUCUGUUUGAUUGGUUUUCAUGUAGAAGAACAAAUUAAGUAUGAGGAGAACAACCGCCCUCCUUUUUCAGCUGGUUUGUUUGUAUUGUACAUGUAGAAGUUUUCUAUUGUAUUUUUUGUUAGCAUACAACUGUUUCUUUUUUGAGGCUUGGUUCCCUUUAUCUACCAAAAGAAAGCAUUAUUCCUUUACAAUAAAUAUUAAGUUUUGAGCUAAGGGAUUUGAUUUAAGGCGGACGAUGCUUGACUAGCUCAAUAAUCAUAUUUUAUUGAUGACGACAAGCUUGCAUGGGACAUAUUUGGCCUGACUCGAGCAAGCUAUGAGUCCAAUAUUUGGAGCCGAACCCAAAGUGGACAUUAGCCAUAUCAUGAUGCCUUUCAAAUCAUGUCUUGAUUUAUAUGAUAGGCACAUGCCUCCAUGCUUGAUCACAUCCAACUCGACCUAUAUAAGUUUGGAUUGUAUCUAUCACUUGCAAGAAUUAUUAUUUUUUUUUUACGACAUCAAUUAUUCGAUCGUAUCAACCUACAUAAGUUUGGAUUGUAUCUAUCAUUUGCUAGGAUCAUUAACUUUUUUUUUGUAACAUCAAUCAUUGGAUCGUAUCAUCCAUGGCACUUAAAGCACUACCAACUUCUUCAUUCAUCUAUCGUUAUUGAAGCAGUUAUUACGAGAUUCAAUGGUGAUUUGUGUGAAGAUGAAUCUUUCACACGAAAGAAACAAUUCCAGUCCAACCUACAUGCAUAUCCAAAGUACGGUAGUCUUUGAAUGAGAUUCAUGCACAGCCAUUGCAGUCUACAAUUCGAUUGUGUAGUUAACGACGAACAUGCAAUUCACAUCCUGCCCAAACUUUUUCAAAUAUUUUUUUUUCAGUUUGAUUCUAGUUUGGCUUCAUUAGAUGGAUGGGCCAUCACAAUUGGAGGCCAAAUUUAGUUUGCAACUCAUGCCUGACGGCGGAUCCAUAGUCUAACUUUGGCUACAGAUCGGGUCUUACCCAAAACCCCAGGGUUUCUGUUCACUGACUAUAAUUUGAGCUCUAAGAGCCCAUUUGGAUGGAGGAGCUUUUUAACUUAAAGUAAAUGGUAAAAGUUUGGGGUGUUUGGCUAUUAUAAAUAUUAAUUUAAAAUUAAAACUUGUUUGGUUAACAGGAAGUGGAGGAAAGAAGAGGCAAUUUUUGAAAAUUGAAGAGAGGGUCUUUUGUUUGGUUAGAAUUUUAAAAGGAGAGAGAAUGAAAAAAAAAAAUUUAUUAGAAGUCACUCUUUACAUUUUAUGAGAAAUAGAAAUCUAUGGAAGAAGUGAAUUUUGGCACUUUUCAUGAGAUGAAAAGUGAUGGUACUUUUUUUUUCUAAAAUAUCCUUUUAAGACUAAUAGCCAAAAUUUUUCAAAAUAUCAAUGUUACGAAUGAAAUAUUGAACAGUGAUAUAACAUUAUAUUAGUAUUAUCAUAAUAUUUGUAUUAAUAUAAUAUUAAUAUCAAUAUCAAUAUUAUAAUAUUUAUUAUAUUUUAAUAUUUAUACUAAUAUAAUAUUUUUUAUUAAUAUUAAUAUUAUAUUUAUAAUAAUAUAUUGAUAUAUAUUAAUAAAGUAUUAUAUUUAAUAUUAUAUUUAUAUCUAUAUUAAUAAAUUUAUUAUAUUAAAUAUUAAUAUAAUAUUAAUAUAAUAUUAAUAUAUAUUAGUAUUAUAUUAAUAUAAUAAAUUAUUAUGAUCUUAUGUUAUAUUAUAAUAUAUUAAUAUUAUAUUAAUAUUAAUAUUAAUAUAAUAUUGAUAUUUAUACAGAAUUUAAGGAUAAAAUAUAUGGUUUUAUAUCUACUAGAGGUAUAAUAGAUAUUUUACAUAAUUUUUUCAGAAAAAUAUAUGCUCAAUCAAACAUAAGCUACUUUACAAUAAAUUAUUUUUCAUAAUUAAUUAAAUAUAUUAAAAUUUUAUUUUAAAAAAUAAUUUUUUAAAAAUAAUUUUUCAAAAAAUUAUCUUCUUAAAAAAAAAUUUCCGCUGACCAAACGAGUCCUCGACAUAACAAUUCAAAAUAAGCAAGAAGCUAUUUUUAGCUAGAAAAGCUACUUAAGCCACAAGUAAUUUUAAAUCUACUUUAAAUAAGUCAAUCCAAACGGGCUCUAGAGACUGCGCCGUGCCUUCUCCCAUCGUGUUCCUCACAUUCUCUCGAGUAUGAACUCUUCCAAUGCUUCCAUUGUUCCAAACUUUCCCCUAGAGUUAUAGAGAUCAAAAAGCUUUUUUUUUUCUCCAGUUCUUUUCACCGUUCUUUCACAAAGAUUAGGUUUUGAUGCCUGUUAGCCUAGGUCUCCCCUGAACCCCGAUUUCUUUUGAUAAUUUUCUGAUAAUUUUCACUCACCUACUUGUUCGAUUAUCACUUCGUCAUAUUUCCCAAAUUUUUAAUCUGUUAUAAAGUUUGUUUGGUGGUUUGUUGUUUGAAAAUUUUAAUAAUCAAAAUUUCUUAGUUGUGCAGUGUUACUGCUCUACUGUUGAUUAAUUUUUUGUUUUAUUGUUCCUUUUCCCCUAUAAACUUAUCAAUGUAUUGGGUCCCAUUUUUUUUUUCUUGAGGAAAAAAAAAAUUGGACCAACACUAGAUUGCUAAAUUCUUGUUUUCCAACACUAGAUAUUACUAUCUCCGGCCUUUUUACAACUAAGAAUGAAUUUUUCAGCUUAUUUAUUUCUUUACAGAAAAAUGCGCUUGAUUGAUUUUUGGCGUUUUACAAUAAUUAUGGUCAUUUGGGCACUAUGGAUGUACGAGAAUUUAGGGAUGUUUGGUUGACCUGGCUAUAUGUUUCAAUUAUUUAAAACUUUAUUUUUUCUCUUUAUUCUUUUGAUAGUGUUGUUUUCUUAUACGAGUCCUAGCUGCAGUUUAUGUAUAUUUUUCUACGUUUGAUAGAUACUGGUGAUAGCAGUUCAAAAAUAGUUCAGAUUCAGUUCAGAAUUAGUUGGACAGUUCAGAAUUAGUUUAGAUUUAGUUAGGAGGUUUAGGAGUUUGUUUCAUGUAAUAACAAAACAAUUAACUGGCAGUUGAGGUCAGUAGUUUGUUGUAAUGAGAUGAACCCCAGAUUGUAUUGUGGAAGCCAUCUCUAUAAAUUGCCAAGAUACAUUAGAAUGAAGGCAUGCAAAGUUUGAGUUUCUUCCUUCCUGUUCCUGUCUCCUAACUUCUGUUCCUCUAUUCUAUUUCUUCUUCCUGUCUCAGUUUUCUAUAGUCUUCGUACUACACCACGGCCAUAACUAGAUCUCAAUCUCGAGCUUCUUCAAGCUCGCAUCAAGUGGUGUCUGAGCCCCGUUCUACCAGAUGAAGUUUUUUAUGAAUGUCAAGAUGAUGAGCACGAUCCUCUGCUUCAGGAGGAAGAAAAAGGGCAUGUUCUGAAAAUUUCUCAUUUCGCACUCUUGAAAAUUUCAGAUGAUCCAAUUCUCCUUACUAUACUUAAAGUGAGAAGAAAAAUCUCCAAUAUUCCCACCACUGUUCUCUUAGAUUCAGGGAGUACUCAUAAUUUUUUGCAUGCUAGAUUGGUCGACAAGGCUAACCUUCAAUUAUCCAGUUCUGAAACCUUCAAGGUCAAACUUGACACGAGAAUUCAAUCCAUGAGCUCUGGCAAAUGCUUGCAAAUUCCAAUUCUGGUGCAUGGUUGUUACAAGAAAUCAAUUUUUAUGUACUUCCUUUAAGAGGCUGCGAUGUGAUUUUGGGAGGUAUGUGGUUUAAAUCCUUGGGUGAUAUUAUCUGAAAUUUUGACAAACUAACCAUGAAAUUUCAGCUGAACGGGAAGAACUACUUGUUCAAAGGCUUGCCAUUUGAUAGUUAAAUAUCCUUCAUUUGAUGUAAGUUCUUAAGGGGAAGGGAAGGGAAUUGAUAGAUACUGGCGAUCAGUGAGCAGUUCAGAAACAGUUCAGAUUCAGUUCAGAAUUAGUUGGAUAGUUCAGAGUUAGUUCAGAUUCUGUUAGGAGGUUUACUAGUUUGUUUCAUGUAAUAACAAAACAACUGACUGGCAGUUGAAGUCAGUAGUUUGUUGUAAUGAGAUGAGCUCCAGAUUGUGGGAAGCCAUCUCUAUAAAUUGCCAAAAUCAAAUUCUGAGUUUCUUCCUUCCUGUUCCUGUCUCCUAACUUCUGUUCCUCUAUUCUCUUUCUAUCUCUUCUUCCUGUCUCUGUUUUCUAUCGUCUUCUUCUUACACCACGGCCAUAACUAGAUCUCAAUCUCGAGCUUCUUGAAGCUCGCAUCAACCUUCUAGUAAUAUGCUUGCGUGAUUCCUUUUGCUCUAUAAAAAAAUGAUUGGCAGUUUCUUUUUGCAACCAUUCCACACACACACACACAUAUAUAUAUAUGGCAUUUUCUAUCUUGAUAUCCAUUCUUAUUCAGAUAAGCUAUUAAAGCUUUUUAUCUGCUUUCUUUAAUUGAUUGUUUGGAUCAGUUCAAACAUGAUAUCGGGAGUCACUUUUAAAACAUAGAAGUUAGUUUGAUAUAUAACGUUUAAGAUUGCUCCGUUCAGUAUGAUUCACAUUGGGUUUUGCAUUCAGUUGAGUUUGUCCAUUGAUGAUGGAGGGGAGUUUUGUGAGAAUGUGCUCUAUGUGAUCGGUCUAUUUUGCCUGUACAGAUUGUUAUCUUUAUGUAUGACAGAUGUCUGUAACGUCAAAAGAGCAUGUUUAUCAUACCAUGGGCCCUGCAGUAUAGACUGUAGACAAAUGUAGGUUAAAGUUUUAGCUUUAUUGCUGCAUUAUAUUAGUUAUUAUGUAAUGUUUGUUUAGCCUUUUAUUUUCUUCUUUUUAUUGGUUAUAUAACAAAAAAGGAUGAUAAAUUUUUACUUGGUGAAGAGUCACUGUGUUUUGUUGUCCAUAUUUUUGUGACUAAUUGUUGUUUUUCUUGGGUGUACUGAGAUUAAUUCUAUAAUUAGUGGGCUGAAUGGAUUUAUCGUAGGCUCAAGAAAUAUCACAUGCCAAAGGGCCUGUUGAAUUCAUGUUGUCUUCAAUAGUGGAGACUAUUUCUUUGCCGUAUUCCAGGAUUCUAAGAGAGAUAUUCAGAUGCAUGUCUGUAUAUCUCUGGCAUCAGUUAGAGGAUUCUUCUUUACUUUUAGCAUUAAUGCAGACCAAACUGUCAUUCGGUUACUUGUUAUAAGGCAAGCUAUUUAUUUAGUUAAUCAACCAAUAUUCGAGUCUUUGUUUGAGAUUUAGCCAUCUAGAAUCAAUUGGUGGUUAAACAUUUCCAUUUGUGGUCACUAAGUCAAAUGGUUAACUCCCCCUGCUCCCUUCUCCUCCUCUUUCUUCUGGCCACAUGUUCAAGCAAUCUUUAAGGUACUGUUUGGAUGUGUGGUUUUACUAAGAUGCGUACAUAAACAUUAUUAAAGAAUUAUCAAUUCCAACUUGAUAUUGAUGAAUUACAUAUUUGAAGCUCAAGAUUAAUUCAUAUGAAGUAUGCAUUUAGAGCUCAGAUUUUGUUCUAUAUGAAGUAUGCAACCUAAUCCUUCCACAAUAUGAUUUCUGUGAAAUAUACAUUUAUGACUGAGUUCACAAAAUUAGCAUCUUUUGAUUGCGUUUGCUCCUAAACCUUUGCCGCUACUUGUCUUGCUUCUUUCACUAUCUGAAUGAAUGAAUGAAAUAAACUUACUGUCACGUCCCCGACCCGAGAUUGUGAAUCGAAGGUCAUGACAACCGCCGCAUACUCAUAGAAAUUUUUUCCCAUAAGCAUGCAAGGCAUUUCAUCAUACUAUCCUAAAACAACAGCGGAAUAAUUAGUCAAUAAUUUGAAUCCGAAAUAUAAUGACCUAAAUUUUUUCUUUAAUGUCUCAAUAAAUUCAACAAUGAUUUACAGGCUUUACAUCAAAUUCAUUAAGCCUUUCAACCUAAAAUAAAAGUAUGAAGAUUCUGCUUCUGAUCAUUCUUCCAUUCACAUCUCGUAUCAUCUUAAUUCCUCAACAUCUGUAAAAAUAGUAAAAUAGGAAGUAAUGAGCUAGACAGCCCAAUAAGCAAUGAUCACUUUUCAACAGAUUUCAUCAAGCAUUUAAGUAAAUAAUCAUUUAUAGAAAAUAAGCAUAUAUAGUUCAUCAAUUCAAAAUCAAUUUCAAUUAUGCAACAUAAUUCAUACCAAAUUCAUUUUUUUAAAAAAAAUUCAAAUUUCUUUCCAGAUUUUNNNNNNNNNNNNNNNNNNNNNNNNNNNNNNNNNNNNNNNNNNNNNNNNNNNNNNNNNNNNNNNNNNNNNNNNNNNNNNNNNNNNNNNNNNNNNNNNNNNNNNNNNNNNNNNNNNNNNNNNNNNNNNNNNNNNNNNNNNNNNNNNNNNNNNNNNNNNNNNNNNNNNNNNNNNNNNNNNNNNNNNNNNNNNNNNNNNNNNNNNNNNNNNNNNNNNNNNNNNNNNNNNNNNNNNNNNNNNNNNNNNNNNNNNNNNNNNNNNNNNNNNNNNNNNNNNNNNNNNNNNNNNNNNNNNNNNNNNNNNNNNNNNNNNNNNNNNNNNNNNNNNNNNNNNNNNNNNNNNNNNNNNNNNNNNNNNNNNNNNNNNNNNNNNNNNNNNNNNNNNNNNNNNNNNNNNNNNNNNNNNNNNNNNNNNNNNNNNNNNNNNNNNNNNNNNNNNNNNNNNNNNNNNNNNNNNNNNNNNNNNNNNNNNNNNNNNNNNNNNNNNNNNNNNNNNNNNNNNNNNNNNNNNNNNNNNNNNNNNNNNNNNNNNNNNNNNNNNNNNNNNNNNNNNNNNNNNNNNNNNNNNNNNNNNNNNNNNNNNNNNNNNNNNNNNNNNNNNNNNNNNNNNNNNNNNNNNNNNNNNNNNNNNNNNNNNNNNNNNNNNNNNNNNNNNNNNNNNNNNNNNNNNNNNNNNNNNNNNNNNNNNNNNNNNNNNNNNNNNNNNNNNNNNNNNNNNNNNNNNNNNNNNNNNNNNNNNNNNNNNNNNNNNNNNNNNNNNNNNNNNNNNNNNNNNNNNNNNNNNNNNNNNNNNNNNNNNNNNNNNNNNNNNNNNNNNNNNNNNNNNNNNNNNNNNNNNNNNNNNNNNNNNNNNNNNNNNNNNNNNNNNNNNNNNNNNNNNNNNNNNNNNNNNNNNNNNNNNNNNNNNNNNNNNNNNNNNNNNNNNNNNNNNNNNNNNNNNNNNNNNNNNUUCUUUUCUCUUUUUCUUCUUUUUUUUUCUUUUCUCUCAGGCUCCUUCAUGGCCGAAAUAGGGGACCCGUCCUUUGCCCGAUCGUUCAGGCCACCGCCGUCACGACGGAGGCCGGCGGCAGAGGGGGGCCACUCUCCCAGGUUCGGAGAGGCAAGGCCGGCGGUCGGUUGUGAUCGCCGGCGCCGGAAAACUCAAGGGAAGAAGAGACCAAAACAGGGGUCUCUUCUCUGAUCAAAAAUCGAUGACACCCGUCGCCGGCAGUCGCGCACAAAGACACGGGAAGAAGGGGAAAGAAGAGAGGAAGUGGAGGAAAACUUACUUCGGCCUCCGGUGACCUCGUCGGUGAGCAAUCACGGCGAGAACAAAAUGAGUAUCCGCGGCUCCAAUCGGAAAAUCAGGGAGAAAGAGAGGGGAAGAGGACCGAUGAUCGGCUUCUAAGGAAGGAGAGGGUCUUUUUAUAGAGAGCCCUAGGACUCCUGAGGGUCCUAGGACUCUCGAUUGCCGGGGUUUAAUCGGAGAAGAAGACUCCUACCGGGAGUCUUCUUCCCGGUUCCCUGCUUUCUUUUUUUUUUUUGGGCUUGAGUCUUGCUAGAUGGGCUUGGGCUUUGGGCUAUAACACUUACCAACCUUAUUCUUUGGCCUCUCUAUGGUUUCCAGUAUCAAUGAACUUUAUCUGCCUACUCUAUCGUUGACUUGAUCAUCUUAGUUUUUCUUUGGUUAAAUUUUGAGUAUCUCUACAGUAUAUUGAUCGACUUGGUCAAUUCAUCAUUAAUUGUAUAUAUAAGAAUUGUUCAAAAGAUGUUAACAUUUUUGAUUUCAUAUCUUUGCAGAAUUAGAACUGACACUCAACUAUCAUUUUGGGCUUCCUUUAAUUUGUAAUUUCGCUCGACUCAUUUGGCUCCUAAUUAAGUUAUCGUUUACCAUAUCAUAGAACAUAAUUUAGGUUGCACGUCAAAACCCAUAAUAAAUUUGAAUAACCAAACAACAUCUUAACACAGUUUUCCCUCAAAAAAAAAAAAAGGAAAAAAGUUCCUGACACAGCCAACAUCUAAACUUUCUUUAACAAACACAGCCAGAUAGCUAAAUUACAAAAAGAGGAUUUGCAUGAGUCAAUGUGAAAACCUGCAUUCAUAAAAGCUAUUCAUAAAGCCUGUGUAGAAAAAUGAACAUAAAAGUUGGCAACCCUACAGCCCCUAGUCUAUAUUUUGUGUAUAGGUAGUAGUUUGUGCAUUACUCAUGAAAAAAUUAACUUUCUUUUUGCUCAUGUAACAUCUAUCUUCCACACAUGAGAUGCCAUUUGAAGUCAUGUUAUAUAAGUAAAAAGAUUCUUCAGUCUAGAGGCUACAUAUAGCAACACUUAAUUUAUUGUCAGCUUCUCAUUCAAAUUUUGUCUGACACCUGCAAGCAACAACCUAUCUUUAUUUCAUUUGUAAUAUACCAAACUAUCAUGUUGUCUCCCAAAUAACAUGUAAAGAAUAUCGUAUGAUGGACAUUUCACAUUUCAGUUUGAUAUGCCAUGAUCCUUGGACUAGUUGUUCUGUAAAUUUUUCUCAUUUGAAUGCUAUUGACCUCCUUAGCUUGCAUGCAUUUCUUUUGCUUAUGUUUUUCAAUGGAUGUUCAUUUAGACUUGCAUGUUCACUCACAUGAAUAUUCACAAACACAUUAGUGAAUAUUUAUAGAAUCAGUAUCUGUUCACAUUAGUCAAGCUUUUCACAGCCUAAAUGAUAAUGAUCACCAUAUAUCAUACUACCUUCACAUUAUUUAAUAAUCAAGGUCCAUUGUAACUGGAUGAUGGUGAAAUCAGAUGAGGACUUUUAACAAGUUGUCUAAUGGAUGUUUUUUUUUUCCCAACUUAAAUCAGGAUAUAAUUGACACAUGACUCAAAUACAAAAUGAGAUUAGAGAAGUGUUGGUUCUGCUCCUCAACCAGCUAUCCAGGGCAUGGGAUUCAAUUUGUUCACAAUGAUGCAAAGGUGGGCCCUAGUCUCUGAUAAUUUCCUAUGAUAAUUUUUCUAAACUUUCUUUGUUCCAAAGAAAGAGUGUUUUUAUAGAUUCCAGUAUUUUAUAUUCCUGUUGGUAACAUGCUUCACAAACAUUUAUGCUACACCAAGCUUUUCAUAGUUUCUGGUUUCAUAAUACAUUAUUAAGUUAAUUUUAUAUGAUGGCUCUGAUAUUCUAAGUUUUUUUGGUUUGAUAAUCAUUUAGUGAUUAUAUGUUGUGUCUUGCUAUACAUAUAUGUGUAAUCUCUCAAUUAUGAUAGUGUGGCAUUAACCCGGCCUUGAUCUAACCAUAAUGCAUUCCUCCCCUUUUGAGGCACAUAUUCUUCUGUAAACAAUUGUGAUAUCUAGUUAUCAGAUAGUUGUGCUGACAAAUUAACUACAAUCUCAUGAUUUGAUCAUUUUAAUAUCAUUAAUCUAUGAUUCAUGUGUUGUCUAAUGAGCAAUGCUACAUAUAUUAUGUUACAUUGCUAUGUAAUGUAGCAUAAUACAAAUUUUUAUAUAGGGUAGCAUAUGCAUCCAACUUUGCUAGGUAAGGUGAAUUAAAAGGGUAUCCAUUGCAAGGCAUCUAAGCAACUGCUUGGAAGUAGAUUAGUAUAUUUGAAUGAGUUGUUGACAUGGAAGUAACAUUUUAAAUCGACAGGUUAGUUAAAGUAGCUUAUAAUGUGAAGAUUAAGCAGAUAUAAGAAUUUUUUAGCCCCCUGACUGGAUAUAUUUCUGAUUUAGAUGAAAUUUCAGCAACAACAAUGACCAAAAAUAUAGGUGAAGCUAGUGUUCUGCACUUGACUAUAUAAACCAUAUUUUAUAUGUUUGGGUUUUCAUACAUUAAUGGUUUGGUUGGCUCAUCAAAAUAAUUUGCAUGUAUGAGCAUCGAAUUCUCAUUGCCUGGUACAUCCUUUUUGGUGGCUAUGAUAGUGUUUUGACAAGCAUCUUUCUGCAGAUCUUCCGAUUUUGCCGAUCCAAAUGCCAUAAGAACUUUAAAAUGAAGAGAAAUCCUCGCAAGGUGAAAUGGACCAAGUCAUACAGGCGAUUGCACGGGAAGGAUAUGACACAGGUAAUAAAUAUGGCAGGACUAUUAACUUCUCUAUAAUCUUGUCAUGGUCCUUAAUCUGUUUUAGUAAAUUCACUGUCUAAUAAUUGUUAUUCUUCUCAAGAAUUCGACCUUUGAGUUUGAGAGGAAGUGCAACAGGCUCGAGAGAUAUGAUAGGAAUAUCACAGAGAACACACUGAAGGGGUAUUUGGUUGGAGAGAGUGGGGAUCUAAAAUUGGAGUCGGAAUGGGUGACUUCCAUUCCAACCAUUUAGUUCGGAGGAGUUCCAUUCCGAUUCCAAUUUCAAAAUGGAAUGGGAAUGGCUCAAUCUAUAUAGAAUUCAAUCCUUACUCUCCUCUAUGGAUUCAAAUUUUCAUUCCAAUUUCGAUUCCGAUUUCGAUUCCGAUCACGAACCAAAUACUUCGGAGGAUUUGACCAUUCCGAUUUCGAUUCUAAGCCAUUCUGAUUCCCAUUCCCAUUUUGAUUUCGGUUGCGAACCAAACACCCCCUAAAGGCCAUUAAGAAGAUUGACAAAAUCAGAGUGGCUAGAGAGGCUAGACAUCAUGAUAUGAGGUGGGUUCCUUCUGCAACUUGUAGCUUGCUGUCAAAAAGAUGGAUGUGCAAAAAAUAAUUCUCUCUUAUAAUGUAAAUCUCCACUGCAUGUUCUAAUAUCUUUUGGAAUUUUCACAGGAUGAGAGGUAAGAAAGCCAUCGUGCGGCAGGCAGCAGCCAUGGAGUUGGAGCAGAGUAUUCAUUUGGUCAAAGCACCUGCUGCCCUCCAAGAGGAUCCAUCCUUCACUCUUCGCAAGAUGAAAGUAAAGAUUUCUCAAUCACAGAUGGAGGAUCGCAUGGAAAAAUAAUGAUAAUUCAGGCAAUCCUCUCACAUAGCGGCAUAGAAAACUCAAUUCAACACCUUUUUAUGCUAUGGUUGAUAUAGUAAUGGUGCCUGUGGUUAGUAAAACGUGGUCCUUGAUAAGAUGGAACAUAGAUGGAUUUACUCACUUAGCUGAAAUUAUCGUGUCUCUUCUGAGUUGCCUCUGUGCUUGCCAAGCACUUCUUAUUUUAAUUUUUCUUUGAGAAUUUUUUUUUUUUUGGCAUCCAAAUCUGAAUUCAUUUCUGAACUUGCUUGCAAUUUAUGCAACUACAUUGUGGAUUAUCAUUGGACUGUCUAGGAGUUGCCAGUGUGACACUAGCAUUUGACAUGAUUGCGAUCAUGAUUUUAGUAAUGCUGUUAUACAAGAGUCUUUUACACCAAGUUUGAAAUAAUCAGUUUUUUGAGAAUGGCAUAAUGGUAUUUUCAAUUGUGGUCACUGGUUUCAAUUUCUAAUGAUAUGAUUGCUUGGAACAUAUACAUAACUGGUUAUGUUUUGGACACUCGUAGUAGUUCCCUUGAGUUGUUUUUUACCUUGGCAACUAUGCAGAUCUAAAAAUUGUUUUGCACACCAUCUGAAGGACCAGGUUUUCUUUUUCUUCCUCUUUUUGUGAUCGUGGGAUAAGUAGUAGUCCCAAGAAGUUAUAUGCAAUGCUUAGAUACUUCUUAAUGAAAAUGUGUUCAAUUAGUCGAACAGAAACAGAAAAAGUGGGUUAGAAUUUUCUCUAAUUUUUCGUAGCUCCAAUGAGUAGUUUGAUAAUUGUACGUAGAAAACCUCUAUUUAUGUCUACAUAAAUGCAGCAAAAAGUCUACAUUAUAACAUAAAAAUUUGAUCAUAUGCAUAGUCAAUUAUCUAAAAUUUUUUUUUUGAUUAGUCAUAAACUAACCUUUGUUUCUUUAUUUUAUCUCAAUGGAAAUUCAUCACUAUUUCACUUCGCUAGAAGGUAGCACACAUUAUUCACCAUGCAUUUUAAUUGAUGCAUGGUGCUUGACAUGGGUCCAUAUAAUAUAACAUAAAAGUUGGUCGGAUUGCACAUAAUAUUGCCAAGUAUGCAUAGUUUAAAUCUACCUCAGCAAAAAAUCUUCAAGAUAAAGCUAUCUAUUCAGCAAACAUAGUCUGUCGAUUUUAUCCUGGAGAACAACACCAAGCAUGUUAUAAUGUGGAUUAAUGCGGGCUGCUACAUGUGAUAAAUUCUUCAUUAUUCUGUUUUUUUUUUUUUCAUUUUCCGAAAACAAGCUCUUACUUUAGAUUUCGAUCUUGCAAAUCUGUUCAUGUUGGAUUAGAGAGAAGGUCACCGUGCCAGCGACAAAACCAUACAGAACAUUCCGAGGUGACGAAGGGCCCGGCGGCAACAGCCACAGACUUGCAAAGCAGCUUCUGUAACUGUUUUUGCUGGUGGUUUCUAGGAAUAUUAGUCUCAAGUUGAGUGCCUCAUUCCCUGUUCUGAUCGUUGCUCGGUUUCAUCUGGCAGCAAAGAGCAAUAGGCCGAAGUUAGUUCAUGAGGACGGUAAUUCUUGUCCCCUUUGUGUUCUUUGUUUUAUGAAGGAUCAUGAUUCGAGACAGUGUAUUCUUCAUUUCGGAUGAAAGUUUUACUAUUUACACAGGCAUCAUUCACAAGUGCUCAAAGUUGUUGAUAAUGAAAAGCAAGCAUAGCCUGGUUUUGCUAAAAUGAUUCAAGCUCAACAUAAAGUUAGAUUUGUUUGAUGGGUCAACUAAUAUUAGAUUAAAUAAUAAGCUUUCUUAAAAUUUAUUACAAUACAAAGCAACUAGCACUUAACUCCCGCGUUGCAGGGAUUUAAUUAUUAUUAAUAAUAAUAUUUUAUAAUUAAAAGUUACUUUCACCAAUUAAUCUCGUGAUAAGAUCAAAAAGAUUUCUAAGAGUUCUUUUUUUCAAAGAUGGUCUCCCAAAUCAGUGAAGAUUGAUGUAUUUGAUAUUAUUUUUUAUCAUACUAUUUAUAUUUAUAUUUUUUAUUUAAAAAUAUUAAAAAAAUAAUAAAAUUUGAUACUUGAUGUUGCGAGAGAUUAUUCUAUAAUCAUACAUGUCAUCACGGAAUAUCACUCAUAAUAUCCGUAUAUUACUUUAUUAUUAUUAUAUAGAUAUAUUUUUUUAUUAUACUAUUUGUAUUUUUAUUUCUUAUUUUUUAUUUAAAAAAUAUAUAUAAAAAAUUUGACACAUGGCAUUGUAGGAGAUUAUCAUAUAGUCUUACAUGUCAACACGGAAUAUCUAUAUUUAUAUUUUUUAUUUAAAAAUAUAAAAAAUAAAAUUUGACACAUGGCAUUAUGAAAGAUUAUCCUAUAAUCAUACGUGUCAACACGGAAUGUUACCCCUAAUACCCAUGUAUUGUUAUGCUAUUACACGGAAUGUUACCCCUAAUACCCAUAUAUUGUUAUACUAUUAUUAUUUAAAAAAUAAAAAUUGACAUGUGACAUUGUGAGAGAUUAUCUUAUAAUCUUACGUGUCAAUACAGAAUACCACUUCUAAUACCCAUAUAUUGCUUUACUAUUAUUAUAUAAAUAGAUAGAUAGAUUUUUUUAUCAUAUUAUUUUUAUUUUAUUUUUAUUUAAAAAAUAAAAUUUAAUAUAUGGUGUUGCAGAAGAUUAUCCUAUAAUUUUACAUAUCAACACGAAAUGUGUAUUGCUUUACUAUUAUUAUAUAGAUAUAUUGAUUUAUAUUUAUAUUUUUUAUUUUUUAUUUUAAAAAUAUAGCAUUGCGGGAGAUUAUCCUAUAAUCUUAUAUGUCAAUAUGGAAUGCACCCAUAAUAUUUGUAUAUUACUUUAUUAUUAUUAUAUAGAUACUUGAAAUAAAAAAUUUCAGUUAUUUUGUUCAUUUAAUUUUUAAUUUUUUUCAUUUUCAUAUUAAAUAAAAAAAGAAUUUUAUUGACAAUUGUUGUUGUUGCAUUACAAUUAGAAAAAUGAAGAUCAAAAGGCAACUAAUAGAACCAGGAGCUUGCACAUCAUAUUAAAUAAGAAAAAAAAAGAAUAGGAAUAAAUGAUAAUUAGAAGAGUUAAAUUAGCAAGCGCUUUAGUGUUAAAGGUUUAAAUGAAGAUUUUCAUUUGAAUUGCUAAUAAGUGUUGAAAGCUCGAGGGAUACACCACUCAAGAAUCAAAACCAUGACUCCUUGUUUUCAAGCAAGAUGAUGUAACCACUGAGCUAAGCUCAUGUUACACCGGGGUGUUUUAUGAUUGGAUUGAGUUUGGGUUGGCUAAAACCAAUCUAAUUAUAAAUAAGAUAGAUUUGGAUUGGCUAAGAUCAACCCAAUUAUAAAUGGAUCAGAUGUAAAUAUAGACCUUAAACUCCAUCGGUCAUCCUUCAACUCCACUGGUCAUCGAUUUAGCAAACUCUAAACAUCAAUUUCUAAACCUCUAAACCUCUAAGUCCACUGGUCAUCAUCGAUUUAGCAAACUCUAAACAUCCAUUUCUAAAUCUCUAGGGCGAUGAUAAUCUAGUAAAGGAUCGUGACCUUGUCGCUGAUUGGAUUAGAGUAGUUCCCACAAUUCGAAAGGCUAUGACUAAGAAAACGACUAAAAUAUGAUAAGGAGAAAAGUGAAAUAAUAACAUAUUUAGAAUUCCAUGUUUUCUCCAAUUUUAUUACUUUAUUUGGAUCGCUUAUUUUCUGCUAUUUGUUUUAUUUACUAAGAUAUAAUCGACAAAUGAAAUGCUGAUCGGGUAUUAAGUUGAAUAUGACUUUAUGUAAAUAAAAGUUUGAUUACAAAUGAAUUGUAUACGAUUUUUUUUAAUUUUUUUUAUAUAACCAAACCUGAUCCGUUACGGCUCUUACCUAGUAACGACUAACCAGCAUCCACAAAUAGUCAAAUCAGAGAGCUAAAAGACAGAACUUGAAGACAGGACGUACCCAAAUGCAUCUGAUUCUUGGAAUGUCAGAACAGCUUCUAAACCACUUCUUGCACUACUUGUAAAUAAGAAGGUUCAUAUAAAUAUAUAUUUCUACUUUCCAUCGUAUUAAGUUUUCAUCGUAGAAUAUCAAUUUAGCCAUACAUUCUAUUUGAAAUCCCAAUCACAGAGUAGGCCAAAUAUUCUGGGUCGUGGAACUCCGAACUGCCAAUUUUAAUUUAAAAUUUUUUUAUUCAAGUGGUGGUUACGUGUGAACUCACCCAGUCAACUUAUUUGUAAGCGACCAUCUCUACGGACGUUUGAUUAAAGAAAAUUGAAUCCUAAAAUAAAAAAUAUUCUAACUAUUUGAUUAAAAGUAAUCUCAUUCUUAUUUCAAUUUUAUGAGAAAAUAAAAAUAUUUUAGCCUUUUAAUAUCCAAUCCCUAUUAUGUUCUAACAAAUAAAUUUCAUUUCAAUUCUGAUCACGAGUUAAAUAUAUCAGGUAUAUAGCUAAUUCCAAUUUCUAUUUCCAUCCAUUAUGAUUUGAAUUUUCAUUCCGGUUGCAAAUCAAAUGUGCUCUAAAACUUUAAAUUAAGUUCAUACAUCGCCACCACUUGAAAUUCCCGUGGACAGAUUUUGCCACAGAUGAUUGUUUGAUUAUAGUACAGUGAUGCAGCAUAGCAACAAUAUGAGUCAGCUAUGUCAAAACCAGUGGUAACCAGAACUGUGAACUUGGAAGUUUACCGGCAAUCUUUAAACCGUCCGGGGCCGAGCCAUUCACGAACAUUUAACAAGCAAGAUCAGCAACAGCGGUAACUAGCAAAUGAAACAAACCAUCAAUAAUAGUUUGAAUAGCAAUACAACAGAGGAUACGAAGGUUGUGGAUGCACCCUUCAGAUACUACUUAAGCAUCCACACACCGUCCAGAAGGAUCCAGAUGCUGAAUGAGCUUCAAAGAAAGCAUUGAUGGAAAACAAGAUCCAAGGAUUUAAUUAAGAAUGUGUAGCUCAUGAGAACAAAGAGAUGUGCAAAAGCAUGACACUAUAAGAAAAACCUAACACCUCCAAUGGGUCGAACAUCAACAAAUGGAGAAGCGGGAGAUGACCACCAAGUGCACCACAUAUUGAAUGAAAUAACUAUAAAAAAAUAUAGGUCAGACUCUUAAGUUAUUAACUUUCUGAUAUCAUAUAUGUCAGAAUCCAUGAAGGUGUGUGUUUAGUCUCAUAUUGCCUAUAUACUAGAUAAGUUUUGAGCCUCAUAUUGGCUAUAUACUGUAUAAAUUUUGAGUAUUUAUAUAAAGUCAAGGACCAAUUUUUCUAUCACACCAACUCCCCAAGCCUUGGGGGCUAUCUCUCAAUCUAAUGCUAAGUUAUCUCCCGUCCCGUCUGCAUCAUCAGUCCUAUCCAUACUCUCUCUUCUUUUAUUGUUCCCUUGAGCGCCUCUCCGCUUGAGAUCGAGCUCUCUUUUAUUUUCAACUAUAAACCUCAUCUUGCUUCCUCUUUUUCUCUCUUUUGUUGUCAGCCACAUCGCUGGCUUUUAUUAUUUUCUAUUUUAAAAAAAAGUAAAUUAAUUAUAUUUUUGAAAGAAUAAAAAUAGAAUUUUUUUCAAUUUUUUUAAUGAAAAAGUCACAACAAUGCGAAAAGCAUGUGUGUGUUGUCAUUAGAGGGCUUCAAAAUGAAACGUGCUAGAACAAACCCAAAGUGGAUUUCAUCGGGUGGACCAUACUUGACUAGUUAAAUAAUCAUAUUUCACUAAUCAAGUCAAGCUUGAUGAAACUUAUUUGGUUUGUGAGUCUAAAAUUUGGGAACAAAUCCAAAGUAGAUUCUACCCAUAUCAUAUCUCUUUUCAAAUUAUGGAUUGAUUUAUCCAUUUUUUCUUCAAACCAAUAAGCACUUAUCAUCAACUGCAUGAUAAGCAUCAUGCCACCAUUCUAAAUCACAUCCAACUUGACCUACGUACAUAUUCAAACUAUGAUUGUCUUUAAGUGGGAUUUGUUGUUGCUGAAAUCCAUGGUCAGACUAAGAUCGCUAUGACCAAAGUAAUAGUGAAGUCAGUCUCCUCUCGAUGCAUCAUGUGGAUAUAAGGAUAUAGCCAACAGAGCAUCUCGGUUGGCAAAUGAAUCGGAAAAGAAAGUUUUCUUGUUGGAGUUUUUUCAAUGAAAAUCCUUCAAUACUCAAGUUAGUUAAAAUUUAAAGAAAAAAAAAAGAAAAAAUGAGUGUUGUAAGAGUUAAAACGAUUUGAUAACAUAUCUAAGGAGUCUCUAUUAAAUAGAGGAAGUUCGAUAACCGUUAUCAAGGCAGAUGAAACAUGUAUUAAUUAGGCAACAAUAGUUUUGAUCAUGCUUAAUUGUACAGUAAUGACCUCAUUUGUUUGUAUAGUCGCUUUAAAUGUACGAUGAUGAUCAAGAGGGCGUUAUUGUCACCAAUUCUCUACAUUGACACGGUCAUCUUUUCAAUUAAUCUAUACCCGAGAUAAAUGAAGUUAAACAUUGCUAAUGUGACCCCAAUAUCACCGAGGUUAGACAAAUGAAUAUGCGCCACAUCAAGAUUCAUGUAUAGCCGCUGGAGUCCGUGAUCUCAUCGUGUAGCUGAUGAUCAACAUGCAAUCUAGAUCGUGCCCCCGAACUACAAGAAAUUUUAAUCAUCACUUGUUUCAAUUGUUUCUUCAAUCAGAGUCUAGUUUGAGUUCAUUAGGUGGGAUCUACUUAUGUCAACAUAAUUCAAGCUCAGAUCUAGUUAGGGGCUCGUGCCCGACGGGUUGUCUAACUUCGGCUACGGGUCGGUUCCUACCCAAAACCCUAGGGUUCCUGGCGACCAUAUAUACUAAGCUCGAAAGACUUCGCCGCCUGCUCCUAUCGUCCUCCUCGCGCUCUCGCCUUCGCUCAGGUACGAAUUCAUCUCAAUGCCAAGGUUCCGUUCUUCGCAGCUUUGCCCUAGAGUCUUAGGGAGCUAAAAGUUUCCUUUUUUUAAUUUCUUUCCUCGUUCUUUCGCGAAGAUUAGGUUUUGAUGCCUUUUAGCCUAGGUGUCCCCUGAUCCGCGAUUUCUUUUUUUCUUUUUUCUGAUAAUUAUUUGUUUUCUUGUCACUUUUGACCUGUAAACUUAUCAAUGUAUUGGGUCCAGUUUUCAUACGCGUAGAUUGCUAAUUUCUUGUUCGUAACACUGGAUGUUAUUGUGUCCGGCUUUUGUACAAUUUCGAAUAAUCUUGAUCUCGGCAAGUGAGCAAUGUACGAACUUGCUUAGUUUCUCGGUAUCUGUACCAUAAACCGGAUGUGUUUGGUUUUAGGUGUUUUUCAAAAAUUAUCAUCAUUUUGGCAUAGUGGAGGUGAGAGAAUUUAGGGAUCGUUGGUCGACCUGUCUUGGUGUUUCUAUUUAUUUAUAGCUUUAUGUUUCCCUUUUUUUUCCUUUAUUGUUGUGACAGCAUUUUUUUUCUUAGCUAAUUUCUAGUUGCUGUUUAUGGAUAUUUUCCGCCUCCUAGUGAUAUGCUUGGGUGAUUCCUUUUGCUGUAGAAAAAAAUGAUUGCCAAUUUCUUUUUGCUUCGAUUACAGGUCGUUAUGUCAUUUUCUAUAUUGAAUUUGAUUCUUAAUCUUGAUCAGAUAAGCUAUUAAAGAUUUUUCUCUCUGUCUUUUUAUUGAUCGUUUUGAUUUUAUCCAAUUGUUUUAAAAUGUCGAAAGCAAGCAGUCCUGUAGUGCAAUGUGGCUUUCAAAAAAAAAAAAAGAAAAAUCUUGUUGAAAUUGUCAAGCUAGUAUUUUUCAUCUUCCCGUGGUAUUUUUGAUGUGAAGGUUUUGGUUCUCUUUUCUUUCAGGCUAUUUCCUUGUUCUAUACGCUGCUGUCCAACCAAAUUCACCAACAAGAUGCAGAACGAGGAGGGCAAGAUGAUGGAUUUGUACAUCCCGAGGAAAUGGUAUAUCUUGAAGGGGAUCACCUUCGCAUACCUUAACUUUUAGUUGUUUCUUUGUUGUCAGUUUAUCUCAAUUCAUAUAAUAGCUGACCACGUAUUGAUGUUUCAUCCUUAAAUGUUUGUUAUUGUAGUUCGGCAACAAAUAGGCUUAUCACUGCGAAGGACCAUGCAUCAGUUCAGAUUAACAUAGGACAUUUGGAUGAGAGUGGGGUGUACACUGGCCAGUUUACUACUUUUGCACUCAGCGGCUUCAUCCGCGCUCAGGUCUGCAUCCUUUCCCUGUAAUUUUUUUCUUUCUAGUUAGGAGUGCUGUAUUGUUUGAAGCUGGCAGAGUUGCAUUGUUUGUUAAUUUGACUUGAUAGUUCUAUGACAUUGUUUGAAAUCUUUAAUUCUAUGAAAUUAGAUGAUUGAGGGCUUCAAAGGCAACUUUUCUACCCUGGAAAGGUUUGGCAGAUAGACUUAUGUUAGAUUAUGCCUCCUUGGUCAUUUGUAAACAUAAGGAUAUUGCUGACAUUUUGAAGUCAGCAGAAAAUCUUGAUGCGAAGUCAGCAUAUCUCCUUGAAUUGUAAUAUUGCAAAUUUGUACUGACUGUUGAGAUUGCUGAAUUUAUUGAUUUUUCCCGUUUAAUUUGGUAAUUUCUUCUUUUCUCUUCCCACAUUUCUUAUUUUUCACCCGACAUCAUGUACAUAUUGUUGUAGUUUGUUAACAUUUGAUAAGAAUGAGGUAAUUGAAUAAUGAUAAAUGCGGGAUACAAGGAUCAAGUGUUUUCAUGAAAAAUUCUGCAUUAACUAAAUCCUUUGUCCUCACAGAUUCUGACACUGCAUAAACAGGUAUGCUGAUAAAUACAUUUACAUCAAUUUUCCCUCUUGAAGAUAGAAGAAAUGUAUGAUGAUAAUCAGCAAACCUUGUCAGAAUGUGAGGCAUGGCCUUGUUUACUCAAAUCUUUCUUCAAGAAUUCCCAAGAUUGUUCAUGCUUCAUAUGUUUCUUGGAGAAAGCAUCAGAGCUAAAGGAAACCAUUAUGGACUGUCCAGAUAAGGUCCCAUUGAUGUUGAUAAGUUUGAGAUUAAUCAGGCUUUUUUAGAUUUUGACAAUUUUGGAUGAGCAUAAAUGCUAGAGUCUGCUUUUCUGUCCCUGUAGCAAGGCAACCUUCCACCCUUUAGGAAGAUUUGGCACGGUAGAAGCCUCUUGUAAAUAAGGGUAGUCCAAGGUGUUGCCUUAUAUACUUCUCUUCACCUUUAACCCUAAAAUCCCCACAAAAGAAAAUGGUGAUAUCUCAAAUAGGAACUUUUUUUUUGAAGUGAUUUAUAACAGUUAAAAUAUUUUAUGUUCGACAGAUUCACUUCACAAGCGAAUAAUUCAACCAGAAAGGUUUUUGUUUUUCAUGUCUAAUAUGAUGCCCUUCUGAAAGCUUCUCUUUUCUCACUUUCUGCAUUGUACCUUCAUGGGAUCACAUGGACCCAGUGGAGGAAAAGUUGCACAGCAAAUGACAGAAAAAUCCUCUGAAAGCAAGAGACUAGGAUAUUGUUGAUAUUCAUAAAACCAUGUGCUUUUCAUGAAAGCUUGUGCUAUUGUACUUGUUGGAUUGCAUAAUUUCAAGGCAAAUGUUCGAUUUGGGCCAUUGUUGGAUUUUUUUAGAGAUGGGAUAGGCUGGCACACACAUUGCAUUUACUGUGCUCUUCUCUUCCUUUUUAAGUUUUUGAAUAAUACAGUGCUUGUUCAUAUCUUCUUCUAUUAGUAUAUGGUUGAAUCUUAAAUGCUUAAUAUUUGAAUUUUCUAAGGUCAGGUUGGUUUUUAACGGUUAGCUUGUUUACAAAAUAUUGGGUGGUAUUGCCACCCUUAUCAACGACAACGAUGAAGUCUUGCUUUCUUUUACCUUGGGAAUCAUUGGCCUAAUAUUUGAAGACAUACCGACUUAUUUCUUCCUAUUCAUGCUCUAAUUAUCCCUUUUUUCAGGCUUAUUUAACAUUGUAAGAUCGUCCUAAUCAUAAUAGCAAUAAACAUAUGCACUGAAUAAACUAACAUCUAUUUAUUCUUAUCUUUUUCUGUAAAUAGUUUUGUACAAUCUCUUUGAAGUAAUAAAGCCCAGAUUGCUAUUUUUGGAUACUUUUAAAUCAGUAUGAGAUGUACUAGAAGCAGCAAUUGAAAGGAAACAUAAAUAAUGGUGUUCCUAUGGAACAAGCCAAAAGCCCAAAAAUGUAGGGCCAGAAGGAGUCAAAAGGCAAGCAUGUCAUUUGAUCAGAUUCUUUGAGACCCCAUGAUAGUUUAUAGGAGCUAAAAGCUCAUACAAGCAAGAAAUAGCUGCAGCUCAACUCAACCCAGUUGAUUAAUGACUUCCUUCCCUUUUUGUCCCCUAAUUUUCUUGGCUUAAUGACUUCGCUCCUCCUCUCCCCUUAUUUACUUUGCAUCCUUCUUGCCUCUAAUCCUACUCUUAUGCUUAUGAACACCUUGCAAAUUUCACCUGGUAGUUUAGACCUGAUCGGGUAAUACCUCCCUCUUAUUGAUUGAAUGCAUCUAUUGCAAUGUUAUUAAGUCUUAUUGUUUAUUUGAUUAUGAUAUAUAAUAAAUAAUAUCAUUUAGUUCAUUGUACAUGGGAAGAGCUACAAUGAACACUAGUAAGUCAGCUUGUGUGAAGGUUUUAACAAUCAAUAAAGAUUUAAAAGUAGAAUCAUUUGAAGAGAAUACAGUAUCGGUGUUGCAUAAUUGCCAUAGUUUUGUAAGAAUGUUGAUUAAAUAUUUCAGUGACCAUUAUAACAGUUUUGAUAUAUCUUCCAUUUUCAACAUUUAUAAUGGCACCAAAAUCAAAUCCAUGAUGUGUGCCUAGUUGUCAUGGCAAGGUCCUUCGAGACAGUCUGUAACUGAGCAGACAUGUAACAAUUAAAGCCAUCUUUUCUUUUCUUUUUUUUUAAAAAAAACUGGUCUAUUUGUGUUCUUUUACAUAAGAAGUUGGUUCCUGAUGUCAGCAGGGCCGACUCAAGUGUAACUCGACUUUUUGUCGUAGUUCACUUGAUCAAACGAUGAAUUUGCUGCAUUAUGUGUCUAGAAUUUCCAUUUGUACGUUUAUAUAAAUCUCAUAUUGCAUUCUGUGUUACAGGGAGAUGCUGACGGUGCUCUGGAUAGACUUUGGCAGAAGAAGAAAGAUGAAGUCAGGCAGCAAUAGACAAUUGCUACUUCUAGGCAUGGUUGUUUAGCGCGUUUUUUUGUUACGAAAAGGAUUUGAGUGCUUUUUAGUUAGGCUACUGGCAUGUGGUGCGCUCUAAAUUUCAUUUUGCAUGUCAAUUGACAUCUACAAAUAUUGAUUGCUGUUGGAUCCUUUUAAAACCCUGCAACUAUCAGUAUUUUUCAGACUUGUGAUUGGUGCUGUGAUUAUUUUCAUUUCAGGACAUAGAUAUGCAGGUUAUAUUGGGCGAAUUUUACCUAUCUUACUGGAUCUUGGUAACACAAAUCAUUGCUUGUUUAUAGUUUUAUGCACCAUGCAUUACAUGUGGUUCCAGGCUUGCCUGCAAAGAAUUACUUCUAAGUGCUGCUAGGUCUGUAUAAUAAAGAGGUCGUCAUUCUAGCGUCCAUUAAUUUGGGUGUCAAAGCAAUGUUAUGAUGUAAUAGGUGUUGCUUUCUACCAUUAACUUAUGCCUGUGCGCGGGGUUUGCAUAGAGCUCCAUUCAAAGUAAUAAAUUACAGUGAAAGUUCAGAUCACCGUUCAAUCAUGCUGUGAUCUUUUAUCAGAAAUCAUGCCAAACAGCAGGCUAGUUUGCAAGAUAAAUGUGCAAGUAGUAGAUUUAAAUUUCUGGGUAUAUAUGUGUAUACAUGCAAAUCGAGAAGGCUUAUGGAGAAACUUCUAAUCACUGCCAUUAAACCUUUGUGAAUCUUCAUUGCAAACACCAAUUCACUCAACAAAGUCAAUGUAGGGAGCUCUGUUUUUAUAUAAUAAUUAUGUAGGAAACUUCAAGUCACUGCCACCUCAUAUGGAUGGCGAAAGAAAAGCAAGGGAUUGUUUCUUCUCUCAAAUUCCAAUUCAAUUCAAAGCCUCCACCCUAGUUGCAAAGUUGCUGCCUCCUAAGAUCUCCUAAAGCCAACUUGCCUUUUCUCUCCAAUCAGAGACUAGUAAUAAGCAAGUUAAUAAAAGUCAUCAGUAAGCAUGAUCCUUUUUUCCUUUUUUUUUUUCUUUUUGAAGAGAGAGAGAGAGAUAGCACCAUCAUUUUGUUAAGAAAAUGGAAAUGAUAACAAAUAGACAAACAUAAAAAUAAGGAAUGCAAAUCCUUUAAAUUCAAAAUCGUCACUGUGAUCGAUUAUUCUCAUUUACUGGUUCUGCAACCAAUUUUAUGCGGAAUUUGAUUGGUAAAAGAAUCGUUUGCCCGCCUUCACAAUUUGACCUGGAGAUUUUAUUCUGGAUUGUAGCUUGCAUGACUCUGUUUCUUGGGUAAAUGAGCAGGAACCGCUGCUAUCAAGAAGGAUGGAUGCAGUUUGUAAUUGUGGAUGUUCAUUGUUCAAAGCACGAUGCAAUUCACAAUUUUACAUGAUUAGAACUUGGAAGUGUGCAUUUCUGCAUGUGGGGUACAGUACUUGGUCCGGCAGCUUGUUGCAGGGUUUCUCAUAGGUUGGUCCAAAGGCUAUAAGUUAGAGCGACUCUAUGCGGUUUGAUACGAGUUGAUUUAAGGCCAUCUAACGCGCUUUAAGUACAUGCGACACCAAAUCUGACAAAAUAUUUAUUUCUGAUAUCAUACUUCCCAUGCUUCAAAGCAUGUGUGGGAACCAUGUUCGGUAUGACUUUUGAAACAGCCUAAGAUUAGACAAAAUUCUCAACAAAUCUUCUUGCUGCCAUCCUUCAUUAUAUAUGAAUUCUUGUCUUUAAAUAGGUUGUCAUUCCCGGUAGCUUAGAAAUAAUCAACAGGGCCAUCACCAUGGGCUAUAUAGUCCUUAGGUUGCAACCCUCCCACGUUUGGGAGGAGAUGGUGUUUAAAUUUUUGGUAUUUUUAAAGCAUCUGACAUAUGCAACUCUUCUGAAAUAUUUUUUUUGGCAUGAAGAGGACCCAAUGAUACCAGGCUCAAAACCUUGUUCAAGCUUGGGUUUCCAAUAAAAAAGAAAAGAAAAAGAAAAGUCCCGGAUGCAUGGCUGUGCACAAGAUUUCCAAUACAUGAUCACCCCUCUACCAUUCACUGCAGCAGCAGGAAUCACAUGCAGGGUGGAAGUAGGGUCGAGAUUCUCACAAGCAAAUCGAAUGAAUGAUUUGGCAUCCAAGUUCUAUGUAUCCUUGGCAGACAUAAUGUUUAAUGGAAUAAUGAUCAAAUAUGGAUAAAGGGCAACAAAAAAAAAAAAAAAAGGGUAUAGUAGCAGCCAGAGAGACAUAUGAGUUUGUUUCAACAUAGAAGAGAUGCGGAGAUGGAAUGCGAUCAGCAAUGUCAACCAUUGGAAGAGAACAGGCUCUUCGAUGCUUAAGAAGGUUUUGCCCCCCAAAAUUUGGCACCUCGAAAAACAAUUUACUGCAUGGAAGCCAUAGGAAAAUUUUCCCAUGGAAUACUUCUUCAAAUGGGAAUCAUGGAGAGAAUGCAUGCGAAAAUAAUGAGUGAUGAUGAAAACACAAUCACUAAAUUUUUGAAUACAUUCCUCAGUUCUGACAAAUAUAGUCAUGACUAAGCCACUGACCAGAUAACACCUGUUUAUAAUUGUAGACGAGGCCACUGCAAAGAUCAAAUAGCUGAUACUACCAAGAAAAAAGAGGGGGAUCAAAUAGCUGCCAUUUUCUGAAAUUUCACUUCCUGAGAGCAGUCUCAAGUUCUUAAUAUUAAAAAGCCUUAAUUUUUAUGAAUUCAGCAAAUUGGCUAAUCAGGUUGAUGUUAUCAUUGAACUGUUCAUCAUAUUAUCUACUAGAAAAAUAGGGAUCUUUUUUAAUACUCAGACCUAAAGAGGUAUAUUUCAAUCUAGGCACUCAGUUCACAAUACUGAUGUAGAAAAAGUGAUUAAUAAUAGUCUCAAAUCAAAUAGUUUAUUAUAUUCUCUAAUUAAAUGCACAACAAGAAGAACAAAUUUAGCUAAAAUGUCUAUUUUUACUGUGCAAUUUUACAUUUAGCACCAUCCAGAGUGUUCUUAAGCAACAUAGCAACCGUCAUUGGGCCAACACCUCCUGGAACUGGAGUGAUCCAUCCAGCCACCUUGCUUGCUUCCUGGAAGUCCACAUCCCCAACAAGUCUAUAACCUGACUUCUUACUUGGGUCAUCAACAGCAUUGGUUCCAACAUCAAUUACUGCAGCUCCAGGUUUUAUCCAGUCUCCUUUGAUCUGCUCACAGUGCAAAGAUCAUAUUUAGCAUCACUCAUAGGCUAACAUUAUUAUUUUGGUGGAAAAAUACUGACAAUCUAUGUUUAUAGUAAAACUAGCUCCGGGCUUGGCCAGAGUACCCUUUAGCAAGCUUAAUUGAGCAUUCUUGCCAUCUAUCACUAUGACCUUAACAUAUAACAAUAAGAUUUUAGACAUAAAAAGGAUACAGAAAUCAAAUAAUAGCAUAAAGAGGUGUUAAGUAGUGGCAUACCAUCAUUGCUUGUCCAGCAGCAGCAAUAACUAUAUCAGCCUCACGGAUGAUAUGCUCAGGAUGCUGAGUAUGGGAGUGAACAAUUGUCACAGUUGCAUCUGCUUUCAGAAGAAGCAAGGACACUGGUAAUCCAACAAUAUUGCUGCGACCAACUACAACUGCCUUUUUGCCUUUUAUACUUACACCACUUCGUGAUAGUAGUUCAAGGCAUCCCUGUGAAGAAACUGCAUGUAUCAAAACCCAAAACUAGUAUUUCUUCAGAUAACGCUCAAAAUGUUAUUGGUAGUUCACAAGGCCUUUAAGAUCCUUAGGACCGAAUCAUCAGAUACAACUUUGGUACACUUUUUAGAACAGUAUGCAAGGUAAAUUGUGAUAUGGAUAUGACAGGAAAAGCUAUCAUGAUCGGAGGUAGGAUUUUUGGUAAUAAAAAAUAUACCUUUGGAGUGCAGGGGAGAAAUAAUGGCUCUCUGCCUUUCAUUGCUAGCUUGCCAAUAUUUAGAGGAUGAAAUCCAUCAACAUCUUUUUCAAUACUGAUUUCACUCAAGACUUUCUCUUCAUUUAUGUGCUUUGGCAACGGAAGUUGAACAAGUAUUCCUGAAAGUAAGGCAAAUAAAUAUCAUUAAAUACAAGCGUAUACAGAAAAAGAGGAAUCCUGUGUUGUGGUAAAAUAAUCUCCAGUUUCAGAAUUUGGUUCAGUAAAGCUAAGAUUAAAAUACAAUAGCCAGUUCUAUGCAUGAAAGCAAGAGUCCAUCAAACUUAAGACCCCAAGAUACUUGCUAGCUAGCAUAAAUAGAGAUUAAUUUGGUAAGUUCUACAGGAGUCCAAUAUAGACCCAGCUUAUAGAAGUAACUAGACAUGUAAUAGAUAAAAUUGGAAAGCAAUGCUAUAAAAUAAGAAAAAUAACCAAGGAGAAAAAUACCAGAAAACAUUAGGGAAAGACAAAGGUCUGUAAAAGGAUAUAAGGAUAAGUAGCUACAAUAACAUGAUAUGCUUAAAAGGAAGGAUAAUUAUCUCUCACAACCGAAUCAAGAGACUAAGUAGACAAACUCCCCCGUCCAUUUUACUGAUGCUUAUUCCAUGCAGGGUCUAAGCAGCGAGCCAUCCAAUUAUGGGGGAUGAUAGUUUUUUUCUGGGCAGUAUGAACAUGAUUAUGGACCUGAUCUGUGGAUAUCAUUAUACAUGAUUUAAACUGCUUUUAACAAUAUAGUUAGCUACAUGUAAAAUGCUAAAAUGGAGCAAUUAAUGCUUUGAACAAACUGGAUACAAACUUAUAUCUACAAAUUCUUCAGCUCCCCUUUUGUAUAUCCUUUAAGUUCUUGUCAUGAUUGUCUAUGGUAAUUGCCAUGGAAUUUCAGAUAUUAUUUUGAAAUCUCUUUCCAUUUAUAUGCUUUUGCAUGUGAAGGUAAACCCCUAUUCCACUUACAAAGACAGCUGUCAUGUCGUUGAAUUUCGAUAUCUACCAUGUCCAGGUCAGCAAAAAAAAGAAAAUAUUUCCAUCUAUUGUCCAGCCAAAUGCAGUUUGGGCAGGUUUUAAACAUGGUUAUUGUGUUUUACAACAUAAAAUCUUAAGAAUAGUUUUACUUGCACAUGCACUUGCAACAUCUCAACAACAUGAGGUGAUUCAUAGAUUGGUGAUUAUCAGCCUGUACUAUGAUUUUUUUGGUGACAUUAGUAAGAUAAUGCAUCUGGACAGAAAAAACCUAGCUUAAAGUAACGUCUUGAGAAGGUUUACAAAUGUUAUAAUCAAAAAUCAGAUGGCAAAGUCAUAAAUGGGACUUAACUUAGUCACACAUAUUUUGAUUCACAAUAUGACAGUUAAGAUGGUGAUGUGUCAUACUUCUCAAGCGAUGUCAAUUGACAAAUGACACCUUAAAACAGUAGCACUGAAACAUGCUUGACUUCCACAAAAAAAUGGCCGUGUGCAAGUUUCAGGAGUGCAUUUGUCUUCUGAUACAACAACAAAAUGGAAAUUUCCUUGACUCCAAUUAUACCACAUUGAUGAAGGAAAUUACUGAGCUUCAUAGUAUAUUUACAUCUGUAAUAAAGCAACGUAAAUAACAUAGUCAAAAAUAACAAAGACAUGAUAAAUCCAAAAAUAACAAAGACAUGAUAAAUCAUAUGCAAUCUUGAUCUUCUUCUUCUUCUUCUUCUUCUUCUUGUGCAUAGAGUGUAUUGGAAAAAAUGAAAUGAAAAUAAAACAGGAAAAAUAAAAGAGAUCUUCCCAAGGAAAACAAACAGAAGGGCGACAUCAAACAAAACCAACAAAGCGAGUGAUUGCAAAUGGAUAUAUCAAAUAGUUCUAAACAAAAAAUAAAUAAAUAAAUAAACAAAGCAUCUCCAAAGAAAUCCUGCAAUUUCGUAGGAUAGUAUGUCAAUGAUAUCUUUUCGGAUGUCCUCCCCCACAAGCAUGAUUAUGACUGAACCUGAACUCUUCUGUACUGCCACCAAUAUUGGGAUGACCCCAAGAUCAAUCACUCUAACAUGUAACAACAGGGGUAUCCCAAGCUGACUCAUAUGAGGCUUAGCCGCAUACAUCUAGCAAUAUAUAAUUCUUGCAAAUAGGGUGUAUAUCUCAGGGUCACUACAAUGACAGCUGUCCGUUAUAAUCUGAGCUAGUUCAAACAAUACUUCCAGCCUGGCACCUGCUCACUGAGUCCUACAACAGAAAUUCAUCAAAGUUAUCAACAUUCUUCUAAGUACAUAACAUAAUAUUUCAAUUUGCUACAAUCUUAUUCAGCAUGGCACUAGAAAGAUCAACACAGGAAGUACCUGCCUUCAAAACAUUUGCACAACCCUUUAUGUCAAUGACUCACCCUUGUCUUUAAAACCCCUCCAGUCAUCUCUCUCCAACAUCCACGCAUAAAAGUGAGUCGAUGAACCUACCAAGCCCAAUCCACAUCACAAGUAGAAGGGACUAAAGUCCCAAGAGAUCAGAAAAUCUUCUGAAAGCGAAUAGGAAGCACUUGCCUUCAAACAUUACAUAUUGGCAUGACAAGAUCACAGUCCAGUUUCUAAUAAUGUCCACUUCCAAAAUAUCCUAUUAUAACUCAACCUCCACAACAUCUUCUCAUAUUCCUACCAUAAAGAAAAUUAACACUGCAGCAUAUGUAACCCCCCCCCAUAGAAAAUAUAUAACGGUAUCCCUUUCAAGUUAUGCAAAAACCUCAUAAAUGUAAAAACACACCAAAAUCUAGUAAAAAGGGCUAGGAACAAGUAAGAAAAACACUUAAGGAUCUAAAUCCAUUCAACAAACAGGCAACUGGUAUUUUUAUUCUAUAAACAAGCUUCCCUUGUUACAUGGAAGUAAGACGUCAUCUCCUCCAUUAAUAAAUGAAAAUACUCAACACCACUCUCUUGGCAUCUCUACACAACCCAGUUACAGGGAAGAAAGAAUUUUCUUCAACCUGCUCAAGUCGCAUCUCUCAAGAUAAAAUAAUAAAGAAUAUUAAAAUUUUCAAAAGCAGGAUUAGGUCCUUUACGUUCCUUAAAGAUGAUAAAACUGUUACACAGGUCCUCUGUAUAUAUUACUGAGGUCUGUUCUUUCAGCAUCUAGGUGGAAUUUCUCUUCCAGUUAAAAGAGGCUACAAUGUUUUCUAAAUAGAAAGUGACAAGCAGAAAUAAUUAUGACAAAGCCAAAAUUUCUUGGAGCUAGAUCUCGAUUUCUAUAUCAACUAUGUUUUAUCCACCCAAAUUGGAAGAUAUCUAGCCAAAGUCUUAUCCACAAGGUAACUUUUAAUUUGAUCCAUACCAUUUCGAGACCCAAAUGCCAUUGAAACACCACAUCAGCAGAUGCGAUGAACCCGAGAUGAUAGCACCCUCAUAGAUCUCGAAAAGUUAAACAAUUUCACAUAAAAAGAGGCAUCUCAAACAAAUGUUAUGGAUCUUGCUCCCAAACCUUGUCCAAACCUACCCAAGGUGACUCAGCUCGUCCACAAUUGAUCUGGUGAUUCUCCACUACUGCACAAUCUUCAAGUAAAUCGAUACUCAAACUAGAAGAGCUAAAAUUAACUAAACUGCACCUCAGUGGAACUCGACCAAUUAACAAGUUGACAUGUUUCUUCUUUUGAUGAACUCCUCAUUCAUAUCUCCUACUCAUUACAUUAGGAAUACAACAAAAAGAACCAACAAAAGCAACAUGCGCACAAAAAAGAACCAAAUUUCUUAUAGUUGAGCUGUCAUUGCUGAAUGAAAGUACAUGAACCACUAGACCAACAUUAUGAAGCCAAAAAAAGGAGGAAUCUUGGGGGGAGGGGCGAACCAUGGACAUCGGCAUCGGCGUUCAACUGGUGGACCUUCUCGAUGAGGUCGGCCUCGGAGAUAUCCUCAGGGAGAUCGAGAUCGAAGGACCGGAUGCCCACCUCCGCGCAGGCCUUGCGCUUCAUGCUCACGUAGCUCUGCGAGUCCUUCCGCGUCCCCACGAUCACCACCGCCAGACCCGGCACCUGAGAAUCCAAUCCCGACCAAAAUCCCAUCAUCUACGACCUAAAAACCUCAAAUUCGAUCGACAAAUUGGAGGGAUUGAGGUGGGAUCUGAGGGUUCUGGGAUUGUACCUUGUUGUAGUUCUGGGAGAGGGAUCGGACUUCGCUGGCGAUCUCGUUUCGGAUGGUUUGGGCGAUCGCCUUGCCGUCGAUGAUCGUCGCCAUUGACGCCGACGAGAGGAAGAGGAGAGAAGAGAGAUCAGUGAGCAGGAGCCACGGGUGGGCGGUGGAGUAUCGAGGAGUUUGCGGUGAAAAAGAUCGGACCCUGGCGGCUCGGUUGGACAUGAACCGGAUGCACUUUGCUCUGCGUGGACUUUGCUUGGAAAUCUACUUAAUUAAUAAUUUUGGGAGGAUUCGUUGGAGCUCAGUUUGCUUUAGUGGCAAACGAGUCAAGUUAGAGAUACGCUUAGCUCAUCCAAGUUUAGCUGUAUUUAGCUCGAGAUAUAAAUAUAUAAGUAGUGUAUAAUUUCAAUUAUUAUUUACUUAUAAUUUUUUUUAUUUAUUUAUUAUAAAUUAUACAGAUUAUUAUAUAUAAUCGAAUAUAUUUUAAUCAUAAUAUUACGAUAUAAUUAAGAUUAUUAAUUCAAAUUAUAUAAAUAAAGUUUUUGAAAACUUUAAGCUCCUCCUAUAUAAAUAAUUCAUAUUCGGCUUAAAAUUGAAUGUGCUUAUUUGAGCUCAACUUAAAAAAUAACCCAGCUGAAUUGCUCAUCUUCAACUCAUUUAUAUGUCUAGAUCUCGAUUUGCAUCAAUGUUAGACACCUUCUGAUACAACAUAUCAUAUAUCUCGAGUAUCUCAUCGAUAUAAAUCAAGGGACCGUAAAAUAUCCGUUGGUAUGAUACUAACUUAUUAACUAUAUUUUUAAUCAUUCCUAUAUUUUUAAAUAUUUUAAAUAUAAAUUUUAAAUUUAGUAUCUUAAUAUGAUUGUCAAUUUUGAAUGUACCUUCUUAGCCAAGAUUUUGAUAUCUUUAUGCUAAAAUUCACUAUUUUUUUAUGUUGAUAGAGAUGAACCAAGAUUUUAUACAUUUUAAUGUUGGCCAUCUACUGAGAUGACCGAAAUCAUGACCUUCAAAAAUUUUAUGUACAAAGGUGCGGUAGCCUAAACAAAUAAGCAUAGGAUAUUCAAAAUAUACAAAUCAAAUAUUCAAUAAACAUGCAUCUAGUAUGUAGUAAAUGUGCAUUGCCCAUCUCAUACUUAAACUUAGGGACAAAAUUUUCCAACUACAUUAUAAAAUUUUUUGUUCUUAAAUAUAGAGCGCUGUAUCGAAAAUAAUUUGUCUAAUGAAAAUAGAUAUCUAUAAAAACAGCUUAAAUUGUAAGGUUAGAUGUGCCUACUUUUGGUAACAACGGCUUGUUGCUUUUCUUAAGAGUUAAUUAUAAUUUUGCAUCAUAUCUAGGUUAGGGACACAAAAGAAACUAGCAGAUUGAUUUAUAAGUAGAAAGAAAGAGCUAUGAGUGUGUUUAGUUCGCAAUUAGAAUCGGAAUCAGAAUAUGCUAGAAUGGAUAUCGGAAUUAUCAUAUCCCCUCAAGUAUUUGGUUCAUGAUUGAAAUCGAAAUCAAAUUUAAAUAUUAAAAAAAAUAGAGAUUAAAUUUUGAAGCAUUGGGGUGAAAUUAGAAUGGGAACAAAACUCACUGCAGUAGCUAGAAUAGAAGCCAUCCCUUCCUAUUCCCAUUUCAGAGUCUAACUCCCCCUAACCAAACACACCUUAAAUGUUUUGCUAAACAUUGUUGACUCAUCUGGUUGGCACCCCUCUCCCAAAGGAUUCCCCCUUGUGGGGAGGUCUAGCUUACGAAUCUUGGUUGGGGUAAAACUACCGUUGUAAUGCUUGAGAAAGAAAAGCUAAAUGUGGCUUUAAGAAGCUAAGAAUGGGUCUGGGCAUUGGAAGGAAGGUGGCUAGGGAUUUCGGAUCGACUCGUCAAUUGCAAAUGUCUAAGGCUUUGAGCCACUGAAGAUGAGGAGAAAAUAUUUAAGCUUGAUUAAGUCUGAAAGUCUAUCUUAAAAAGUUUCACCUGGUUUCUUUCAACCCCCUCCAACAUGAGAACGGGACGUAUUCACAGACAUAAUUAAGGGGGUAGAUAACUGAAUGCGGUGUACCGGUUGGCUUCUACAUUGGUGACAGAAUGGCACGUGUAGAGUGGCUAUAAAGUGGCUUUAAGGUGCCUUGUUGUUAUUCUGAUCGCAAUUCUCGGGCUUUUGUCAUGAUGGAUUCAUGAAAGGCCGGGCUCACCUAGUUGGAACUCUAGAUGGGUUUGGCUGUUAAGGUGUGGUUUCAUGGGUUGAGAUUAAUUGGCCUUGGCCGGUUGGUUUGUAGUGGAGCAUGGUGUUGGCUGGCCAAAUAAAACUCAUAUUUAGCUUGGUGAUGAACAAGUAUUGCACUAACGGAGAUUCACAUUUUGGUUUUGGUGAUGGAUUUGCAUUGGGAUGGAUGUGGAUGAAAAAGGGCAGAGUGACGAGAAAUUGUUUGGGUUCAGAUUUUGGUAUCUGUUACAGGAUUUAGGUAAUUAGGUUCAGUCACUCAAGUUAUACUUUAUAGUUUAGACCAAGAGGUAUCGUACCAUUUGGUUCUGGUGCAUACCAAUUAUACCAUAUUAUAUUGGUUUGUGGUAUUAAGGGCAUGCUAAGUAUUGGUAUGCCCAACCAGCUUUGUACCAGGCAAAACAAUAUAGUAAUAAAUUGGUACCAAUAUAAGAUAGAAUCUUGGAAAUUUUGAAACCCGAUCACCUGGCCAGCUUUGAAUUGAGAUGGGCAAACUCAUUACCGGCUUCAAUUCGAAUUUUGAAUAAAAAGAAAAAAUUAGGAUCAAAACAAGGGGGAUCUCGAUUCCUUGCCCAAUCCCCAUCAUUUGAUGAUAAAACUACCCAACGAUGGCCGGUGUGAGAUCUCCGGACUAUUACAAUUUGUCGAGGCCGUUGGAGGCCAAUGCAACCGACGAACAGUCAGUGUUAGGCCAGACUUAUCUUUUUGUGGCCGUAUCCUACCUCCUCCCCUGCAAUUGGCAUCAUCGAGCACUCUCAUUUCUCUUCCAUUCCUUCUUCUUCUCUAACAGCUAACGAGCCGUCUUAGCCCAAGUUUGGCUACCCAAAACCCCCAUUUCUCUCUCUUUCUCUUGCCCCUCUCUCUCUCUUGCUCUGUUUUAAUUUGGUUUCUUGCCUUUUGAACCAUCGAAGCUCACUUUUGUCGAUUAAGAUUUGCCGCCUCUGUUGAUCGCCAGUGAGUCUUCUUUCCUCACCCUCCAUUAUUUUCCUUGAUUGGAGCCUAAUUUUCCCAUUUCUAGCUGAUCAAACACUCGAUUCUGAGUGUUUUCUUUGGUUUGGCCACUGCCUCAUCCACCAACCGCAAAGCCCCUCAUCUCCCUCUUCUCUCCUCUUUCCUUUUUCUUUCCCUCUUCUCCUUCUCUCAUUUUUAUCUUCUUCUUCUAAUUUUCUUUCUUUUCUUUCUAUUUUUUUAUUUAUUAUUUAUUAUAAAUUCAAAUUAUUCUCUCUCAUCUGAUUCUUACAUUGAAUAUCAUGAUCAUUAAUGAAUCAGACUCAGACUCUAAUCUUAUCC